RNAcentral lists this long non-coding RNA (44981 nucleotides) under Malus domestica (apple). Its description in RNAcentral is "long non-coding RNA (MDOM_LNC011394)". Lineage: Eukaryota; Viridiplantae; Streptophyta; Magnoliopsida; Rosales; Rosaceae. The record is from RNAcentral.
GAGAGAAAGAUGGGAAAGAGAAAAUAUAGAGUGCACAUAAAAUAUUUGGAAGCAUAUGGUAUAAGUUAAAAAACUCUACCAACUUACCUUUAUUGUUUUCAACAAUUAGGCAAAUUUUUAAGUUGGUUUUGAGUAUAGUUUUUAAAAAUAGCCAUACCAAACAAGUACUCAAGGUAUAAAAUUUGAAAAAUAUUUUUAAGUUAAAAAAGUUAUAUUCAAAUAGAAUGCCAAACAAGCUCUUAGUUGCAUAAGAAGCCUUUCUGUUAUAGAGGGUAGAGAGGAAGAGAGUUGUGCAGCUAGGGUUAGUUGAGGAAGAGAAUUGAUGAGUUUUUUUUUUUUUUUUGAAUACAAUGAUAUUUUUACAUUAAGGGAGAGAGAGUUAGGCUAAGCCACACAAUGAACAAUUUAAUUUGAUAUCAAAUUCGCUAUUCACGAGAUUUGAACCUAAGAUCUCUCACUUUCAAGUGAAAAGGAAUACCACUAGACCGUAGUAGUGAGUGACAGAAUUGAUGAGUUAAAGAGGGUAGUUGGGCAUUUGGAUGUGGGGCCUUUAAGAAAUUAGAUGAAAAUGUUUAUUUAUUUAUUUUUAACAAAUGAUAUUAUCUACAUGAGAGGGAAGUUGACAUUUCGAUAAAAUUAUUCAACCUGAAAUAAUAGAAAGAUAAUAUUUACAAAGUGCACACUACCGCUACAAUUUAGCAUAUUCGAAGUGUUGUAUCAAUGAGAAGUUAUUGAGUGAUACGGUAUUACCAAUUUCCACAUCGGGAUGAUACUUCCGUUCGAAAUUUUCCACGUGAAAUUUUUUUUACAGCUAGAUUCAAUGUCUUUUUCUGUCUUUUUAUUCCUGGUUAAAAAAAAAAGACAGAAAAUUAAAAGCUUAAAUUAAUAAUAAGUAACCAGUAAGCACCUUUAUGGAAGAUCCCUAAUGUCUAACCACCACUCUCACACCUUUAUGGAGGAUCCGUAGUGCGCGGACCCUCGGAAUCAAUUCACCAUGAUCGAAGUUCGAACGCUUGACCUGACCUACUGGGCUAAAGUCGGACUAAUCGGUGCCCCGUGGAUAACGGGCUUCUUCGACCAACGUCUUUAUGACUGGAUCACGGGUCUCAAAAUGUUUAAAAAGCCCAACAGAAUAACCCCGACAAAGCCCAAGGACAAUUCCGUCAUUCCGUUCGCAACUCCCCCCCAAUCCACACAAAACCCUAGCGGCAUGUGAACCGCUUUACAAAAUCCACACGUUUCACUCUCACUCAGCCUCCUUCACCCCCCAAAACCCUAACGCCCCCAAACCCAGAGCGCCGCCGAAGAAGCCAUGCCUCCCAAAUUCGACCCUUCUCAGGUCGUCGAUGUCUACGUCCGUGUAACCGGAGGCGAGGUCGGCGCCGCCAGUUCGCUCGCUCCCAAGAUCGGUCCUUUGGGUCUCUCCCCCAAAAAGAUCGGAGAAGAUAUCGCUAAAGAGACUGCCAAGGACUGGAAGGGCCUGAGAGUCACCGUCAAGCUCACCGUGCAGAAUCGUCAGGCCAAGGUCUCCGUCGUCCCCUCCGCCGCAGCGCUCGUCAUCAAGGCGUUGAAGGAGCCGGAGCGCGACAGGAAGAAGACUAAGAACAUCAAGCACAGUGGGAACAUUUCGUUGGACGACGUGAUCGAGAUUGCUAAGGUGAUGAGGAACAGGUCCAUGGCGAAGGAGUUGGCCGGGACCGUGAAGGAGAUUCUGGGCACUUGCGUUUCUGUAGGGUGCACCGUAGAUGGCAAGGACCCGAAGGAUCUUCAGCAGGAGAUUGCCGACGGUGAUGUCGAAAUUCCCUUGGACUGAUGAGCUAUGUUUUUGGUUUUAUAUAAUGCUAGUCAGUUUUUGGGUUCUAUAAAGAUUUCAUAUUUUUGGGUUUUAAUUCUAAAUUGGUUUCCCAGUUAUGAAUUUCUAUAGAGCAUUGAAAUCGUUGAUCGAAUUCGGAGCUGUAAUGCAUUAGUGUUAAUUUAUGAACUUGAUUUUGUUGCUUAAUGUUGAAAUGCAUUUUCUUUAUGCUCAUGAAUGAUUGUGUGGUGAUUGAUUUUUGCUUUUUGUUAAGUGAUGAGUGAUCUCUUUAAAAUCACUCACAGAUGAUUUAGCAUUUCGAUGUUAAAUUUGAUGGUUUCGGUGUAAACCGGUGUUGAAACAAUUGACUUGAUGGGGUUUAUAGUGUGAAUUAUGGUGAAAUCUAGUUUGAAAGAUGGUUUAUGCAAUUGUGUUUUGGAUUAUGAAGCAAUUGUUCAAAUGAUGGUGGUAUUUGAUUCCGAGAAUAUUUUCACGUUUUGCUUACAAGUUUGAGUUGGAGCAAUUGUGUUUGUUUUCCCCUCGUGUGAAUUUCAAAUGUAUAUGUUCUGUUAAUUGCAUUUGUUCAUCAUGAAGUCGGGAUUACAGCUUGUAUACUUGGACGUUUGGUUAAAAUAUUAAAAGAUUAUUGCGUGACCCGAUACCUUGUUAGUUAUCAAACAUGGAUUUUAGUUUCAAAAUCACUUAUCUGAAAUUGGGAAGUCAUUAAGAUCCUAACAGUGUUGUUGCUGAUGUUUUAGUUCUCAUAACAUUGCUCACUAGUCUGUCUUGUGGUUUGAGUGAUCGAGUCUACCGAAGGGUAUAAUAAGCACUUUAGGUGAAACUGGUUCACCAUCAUCGUGGAGUCCCGACCCACUAAUACGAUGAAGUGUGCUAAGCUCUUCACGUGGCCUUGUAUUAGUGGCUCCAUGGAAGUAUUCCGUAUGCAAUUUUUUUUUCCUGGUGUGGAGAACUUCCACGCCAUGGGAAGCCAUCGUGUUGUGAUACCUGUUGUGAUACCAGGCUAUGUAAUGUAUGAUGGUUAAAACACAUGGAAGGACAUUAUUAGCUUGCUUUACUGCCAAUAGUAUUUUUAGUGUCGGUAAGUUUCUCUCAAUUUAGAUAUUGUCCGAUAGGUCUGCAAGUUUCACAUCUAAGUAAUACUCGAUCUGAUAGUUUACAAUAUAUAUGAUAUAUAUUUAACGACAUUCUAAGAACUGAUAUUUUUAGAUAUCAGUAGUUGUCUGGUUCGAUCGAUGUGAGCUCUUAGGGAAGAUCACCAUGUUAUCCCUAAAGUGAAUUUUAUCCGUAGCUCUACGGUUCUUUAACUUGGCACCGUCAGAUCACUAAGGACGACUUUUGUCCCUGCUUGACGGAUUGGUCUUACACUCAAGCUCCCUUCUGGCUUUUGCACUCAAGGGCCAAUCUCUGUCUGGCCUGAGGUAACACGCCUUCGUUAUCUUUUUGGCAGGCCUACGCCCCAUAGAAACUUUUUACUUGAGUUUGUUCCUUGGCCCAUAGGUUUUGACACAGGGUUAAUUUGAGCUCAUCAUCUAAAUCUGCGCUAGGAAAGGCCCAAUGCCAAUCCAAGGGAAUAGUGAAGCUUCACAGGUUAUCUCUGUCCAGGUGUGGGUAGUUUGCAUCUUCACAGCAUGUACUCUUUUGAGAUACUAUUUGGUCUUAGGAUUGGUAUUGAUCAAGUGAUCAGACAGCUCAAGGAUGCAACGUGCUAGACCUAAGACUUCAACAUGAGUUGCUCAUUUAGCUAAUAUUUUGGGACGACUUUUUAUCACUAAUCCCUCUUCUAGAAAAGAGAGUUCCUCUCUCCGUUACACCCGCAAUAGAGCACGCCCGUUCUUACCUUUGUGGAGUUAAGUUACUAAAUUUAACUGGACCGCCUUACUACUAAAGGGGUUUUUCUUAUAAACGAAUAAGAACUCUCCUUGAGGGGGGACUUGUUUUACUGGAGUGCUUAAAGGUGUUAAAACAACUAUGUAACUUAGUUAAGGACUUCGGCAGAAAAUUCUUAGGUGCUUUGUUGCCCUCUUGGCAGACUAUGACCGAUUCCAAAUCAUAAGGGAAAAUCUGCUCUGUGAAAAAGGUGCUUUGCAUAAGGUCUAGUUCCUUGGUCACUAGAUUGGCGAUGGCAAGAGAAGGUGCGAGUAAGCCAUGGUGGAUUGGGAGACACCACUCAAGGUGCAGUAACUAUGAUAUUCUUCCUCAGAUUUUUUAUACUUCAAUUUUCUGUUAUAUAAUAGAAACUUAUAACAGUUCAUUAGAGGCUUCUCGGGAGAUCAGAAGGGCUUAAAUUGCUUUUGCCUUACCUUCUAUUAUGGCGAAUGAGGGGUGUGCGCAAUAGUUUUCUUCCUCUCCCUCACUCGAUCACUUCAAUGCUUAUAAUUUGAGAGAUGAGAGGAAAGUCUUCUCUUGAAUUCGAAGAUGUGACACAAAUAAUGAUUCUCUUCGCCGGGAUGUUAGCAUCUUAGGCAGCUUAAGCAUUUUUUAUAUUCGGGUGAAGGCAAGUUGAAACUCUGCCCCGACCAAGCGAAACUAAGGUCACGAUCUGCUCUACGGGCCAAUAAAGUCGUUUUUCAAGCACUAGUAAAAUGAUUGUGGAGAGGGUGCGCAACCUAGAGAGAUAGUCGUAUCUCUUUGAUGAAUGUGCUAUUGAGGUUCGGUUCAUUUGGAAAAGAGGUUAGUCUUAGGGGAGACCAUGUGAAUUGAUGAAGUUUCUUGUGUAACGCAUGCGAUCGCAGGUCAGUGGUUUGUUACCACAGAAAUGAAAAAGUGAAGGAAAAAAUCCAGUGAGAGAGUGGGAGUUUGUUGGAUGGUUCUCCUUAUUUUCCUAGCACGUAUCUUCUAUUCCCAGGUUUUAAGUCGUUUGCCAAAAAAACCCGGCAAGUUUUGUGUCCGUUACAAUGCCGUAAUUAGACUUUUGACCUCAUGUUUUUGAGGUUUGCUACAAGUCGUUUUCCAACUUUACCCACAUGAACUGCGGAUUACCACCAGAAAUGCUGCAGAUUUCCCAGUAUAUAAACGCCUUAACAUUCCUACCAAUUUCCCAACUUCUUGAGUUCCCUAUUGACAAAAACCCUUCUGUUUGAUAGAUUUUACGUAAAUUAGCCCUUUCUCUCUUCUUUCUUGACAUAAAGGGGGAAGAGAGUCAUUUUUUCUGUUUGUUCUUUGCAAUCACAAUUCAUUGAAGAGAAUGCUUUUAAAUUUCAAGCUUCAAUGGCUAAGGGAAUGAGGAACUUGAAUGCAUGGAUUGAGGUGGCUCCGGCACCAGUCAUUUACCCGCGAAAGAUUUCGAAUUCGCCUACUUUGGAGACGAUUCUCGAAGAGAGCGUCGAGGAGUGUGACGAUGACUAGUUAACUUUUAUGCUCACUUUUUUCCUUGUUUGGUUAUUCAUCCUUGAUGAAAACUUAUGGUCGCAAAUUUGAAGAUGGAUGGCCUCUGGAUGCAUCUCAUCGCAGCUCCGGAUUGUUACGAUGGAAUUGGUGAUUGGAGCCGGGAUCUGUCCAUUGGAAAGGGAAGUCCUAAACAAUCCAGUGGAAGUUCUUCUUUGAACAUUGUCCAGUGAACACCGUAUUACUGUUGUAAAUAUGCAAUUAGUUUCAACUUUGUUGUAUAUAAACGUAGUUUGUUAAAAACUAAAAGUACUAUAUGGAACUAUACAUUUCAGACGAUGUAAAAUAAUAAUAAAAUAAUCCAACUAUCUAUGUUCAGAUUUAUCCAUUAAUAUGUGUUGUGUUCGUAUAAAUCUACAUUUGAUCACUAUACAAAACAAUAUAUAAAAACAAGAAUAAAAUACCACAAUAACUUAUAUUAUUCAUAAAAAAAUGAGAAAAGUAAUUAUUUUAUUAAUGUAAUAAUAGUUGAACAGUGUUAAUCAUGUCAAUCAUAUACACAUUGGUUCCAUGUUCAUACAUAGUUAAAGUCAUAUAAGGUGUCGUGCCCGAAAUAACCACUAACAUGUCGCAUAUGUAAACUGCAGCUGUCCGGAUUAGUGAUAUUUUGCAAGCUUGAAACAAGAAGAUUGAGUGCUAAGUUACUUGGGGGGCCUUCAUAUUUCGUAGUGGGAAUCUUCUUUCUGAAAAGUAAGUGUGAUAAUUGUUGGGUAUCCCUCCACUGUCAAAUGGGUCAUUGUCUAUUGCUUCUUUAGGGUAAGAUAUCUAAGGAUACCAAAAAAAUGGACAUUUUGAAAGCUUUUGGGAAGGGGUAAGUAGCUCUUUAUCACAGUGAUGAAAAUAUGUUGAGUUUUUAUAUGAUGACGUGGGUUCAAACUCCGUCUGUGGUUAAUAUAACAAAACUUAUCAUUUGACAAAAAAAAAAAAAAUAUAAAAAAGCCUUUUGGGAAGGGCAGGUGUGGAUGAAUUGGAGGUUGGGUGUGGAUGUUGAAAGUUUUACGUUUACAAACAUAAUUAAUAUGGGGCGUGGCUUCAAUAUUCAACUAUGAUUUUAAAUGCAUCAGAGGAGUGUUAAUGUAGAUUAAGGUGAUGAAAGUAUACGCUCUGUUUUUUCUAAAUCUCACUUGCAUCUGCAAUUGUAAAUUUUUAGUAGUAAAGUUUGUCUUUUUAUUAUUAUUAUUUUUUGUGAGAAGUAGAAGAUCAUCUAAAAAAUGAUUGAAUUUUUGGUACAAAUAAUGCACACAUAGAUUAGCCACUAAGAUUCAAGGUAGAUUUUUUUUAUGAUUGUGGGCCAAGAAACACGUUAAACCAGAAUUGUUUUGUCCACAUUUUCCUUGUUCCUAGUAUGCCUUUCAGUAAUAAGUGGGUGAGACUCUGAGACCUACUUUUUUUGAAACCGCUAGUGUAAUUUCCUUCACUGGUUUUUCUGACCAACAUGUUAUAAUUAUUGAGUAUUUACUUUCAACUCCUAUAAAAGGCCUCCUUCAUCUUCAUUCCCUUCAUCCCAAAAUCCCACUGCCCUCACUCAAACACUACUAGAAAACCCUAAUCAACAAUCUGCAACAAAACCCCAUUUCUCUGCAUUUCUUUCCAGAAGCACUCAAGUAAAAAGCCACUUCUGUAACUUUCAGCUUGGAAUUAAGCAGCUGAUCAGAGAGCAGGAAGUUAAGAAACCUUUUUGUUUGAUCACUAACUGCAAUGGCAGAGCAGAUGCAGAUAAGAUUGUUGUGUUCUUGGAUGGAGGUUGCACCUGCAAUUUUGAUAUCCCACAACAAGCCUUCAACUUGUCCUCAAUUGGAAACAAUAACUGAACAGUGGGAGCUGGAGGCUGAGGAGAAAGACCUGCAGGAGUCCAAAAAAUGAACAUUUUACUUCUUCUCAUGUCCUGAUUGUUAAUAUAUAUAUAUAUAUAUAUAUAUUUUUUUUUUUUCUUUCUUUCUAUUUUUGUGUGAAUUGUAGAAGUUUUUGGACUUGGUUUGGACAAAAUUUUUGAGAUCAUCUCCAAACAAAUUAACAAGAUUGUGUAGUUUCAAUGGCAUUGGCUUCCAUCUUAUAAGGUAUUUCUUAUGGCUAGAAUUUUCAAAGGGUUUCGUUCAUAUUGAUUCAUUAGAUGUUGAGUGAUUAGUGACAGCAUCAACUGACUAGAUUUCUGCAAUUCUGUCGACACGAGAGAUGUAAAAGAUGGGCAAGCUACACCUGAAAAGUUUGACAUUCUUCAGGCACACUCAUGACUCGCAUUCUUAAUUUAGUAUAAUAUGACGAUUUGGAAUGAUUGCAUUUCUUUGAUUGAUUACAAUUGUACAAGGAUGUACAAAUAUAUACUGAUUACAUUUAGCCAAACUAGGAAAGAGAAUUAUUCUACUCUAAUUUAGGAGCUAAUAAGGUGUUGACCUGUAGAAGAAGAUGAUUACAACAAUCAUGGGGAUUUCUCUAUGAUUUGAUUUCCAACCCUCCCCCUUAAGUUGGAGAGUGAAUAUCACGAAGUCCCAACUUGCCACUUAAAGCAUGAAAUUGUUCCUUUCCCAAUGGUUUCAUAAAUAUGUCUGCUACUUGUGCGUGCGAAGGAACAUAGGAUGGUGAAAUCAAUCCAGCUUGCAAUUUUUCUCACACGAUAUGACAAUCAAUUUCAAUGUGUUUUGUGCAUUCAUGAAAUACUUGAUUUGCUGCAAUGUAGAGAGUUGCCUGAUUAUCACAAAAGAGAGAUGUCGGUUGAUUUUGUGGGACUUUCAAGUCUUCAAGAAUAUAUCGUAUCCAAGUUAAUUCCAAACAUGUCAAUGCCAUAGAACGGUAUUUUGCAUCUGCUAAUGAGCGUGCCCAAUCAGAAUCACAAAAGGCUCGUAGUGUGAGAUUAUUAGAAGAAGGGAAGAAUAACCCUUGACAUGGAGCCCCUUUUAUAAAUCUUAAUACUCGUAGGCAACUUCCCAAUGUGGCUUCCGUGGAUUUUGCAUGAAUUGACUAAAAUUCCAAUUGAACAAACAAUAUAAGGCCUUGUGAUUGUUAAGUAUAUUAAUCUCCCUACCAAUCUUCUAUAUUUUGUAGGAUCAUGGAGACGAUCGCCAUCAUCAAGGUUCAACUUCAAAUGUUCCUCCAUUGGAAAAGUACUUGGUCGAGCUCCCAAUAAACAUGCAUCUUUUAAAAUAUCCAAAGCAUAUUUUCGUUGGGAUAUGAAGAUACCCUUUCUUGAUCGUGAUACUUCAAAUGCCCAGAAAAUAUUUUAAGUUUCUCAAAUCUUUGAUACCAAAUUGUAGUAGGAGAGAGUCUUUGAGAUUUUUGAUUGCAUUUUCAUCAUUUCCUGUCACAAUUAUGUCAUUAACAUAAAUAAGAACGACAAUAAAAGAGUUUCCAUGUAUCUGUGUAAAGAGGAAAUAAUCUGCCUUGGAUUGUUGAAAACCUGCUCCUUGAAUAGCAUGAGAAAAUUUUGCAAACCAAUUUCGGGAAGCCUGUUUCAAUCCAUAUAGGGAUUUUUUGAGCCGACAUACGAAAUUCUCCUCUUGUCGACGAAGACCAGGUGGAAUUUCCAUAUAGACUGCUUUAUCAAGGUCCCUGAUAGACGCAUAUUUAUGCGACUUAGUUAACUAGUUUUCUUGCAUUUACGUUAUUAGUUCUUAGUUAUUUUAGUACUUUAAGCCAUUUUCGUGUGUUUGUAGGUCCAAAGGGCUAAGGUAGCAAGAAAGUGCAUUUUGGUGCAUUUUGGAGCAGUUUUGAGCUUGGAAUGGAUUACAUAUGAUAUGAGCAAGAUGGAAGGACGAAUUUGAAGACAAAAGAGGCUAAGAACAUGCUAAAAAUCUGGUGAAACAAAUACAAGUUGCAAGAAGGGAUAAAUUUCUAGAAGGAUUGGCCAAAACUUCACUCAAAACACAUCAAUGCCGUGGCUUUUACUUCCACCUCCACCAGAAAUUUGAGUAAUGAUGCAAUGCUUAACUCACCAUGACAUGUGAGUGGAUGAUGCAAUGCUUAGCUCACCAUGACAUGUGAGUGGAUGAUGCAAUGCUUAGCUAACCAUGACAUGUGAGUGGAUGACUCAAUACCUAACCCACCAACAAUUCCCACUCUUUGCCAUGCUCACCUACUCAAUUCCACCAACAUUUUGUGUUAAACAAGUCCAUCCUCUUCCUAUAAAUACCAUGGCAUCAACCUCAUUCAAAUCAUCCAGAAAUUAACCAUUCUCCAAGCCUUUCCUUGCCUCUCCUACAUAUCUAAACCCCUUCCCAUCCAUUCCUCCAAAUAACCAACCCUUCAACAUCAUUCCAACCUUGUUGUUGCGGCAAAGAGAAGGAGAAAAGUCCUUAGACGCACUUGCUAUCCAACAUGGAUCGUUGGAACGUUUAGGUGCUUUCUUUCCUUUGUUUUUCAAUGUUUAAAUUUGUUUAUCUUUGUUUUGUAAUAAUGAGGAACUAAACCCCCCUUGGCUAGGGGGGGAUUCGAAACCAUGUUAAUGCUUGCAAUAUGAUUUGAUUACUUUUAAUUGCGUUUCAUAAGUUAUGAAUUUGAUUUACUUAUCUAUUUGAUUGAUAACAUGUUUAUGUAUGUUGAUUAGGGAUGCAUACUUAGUUUGCAUGCAUAAAUAUGAUGCUAGAGUAUAAGGGAAUUUCACCUAAUCGUUAUGAACUUAUAUUCAUGAGUAGUAAAAGUCGCUAGUCACGAUUGUGUUAAGUAAAUCCUUGGCAUAAGUUUCAUGCAAAUCAUAGUAACGAGUGCCUCGUCAAUGCUUAUGUUUUUCAUAGAACUUAAUGAUUCUUGCUUGUAUCUCUAUUAUGCAAUUCAUGUAGGGAACUUGUAGGGAAUGUUUUGGGUUGUCGUAUGCAAUCAUCCAACCCAAUAACUUGUGGAAAAACUAAGGGUUAAUUAGUGCAAUUCACGGUUAAUUUGGGGCGUUGAGAAUUAAUAAGUUAUUGAAAUGCAAUUGGAAAUCAUUUUGUAUGCAAGCAAGACAUGUGUGGAGAAGAACCCCUUAGCUAGCCUUCCAUUAUCCAUUCAACCCAAAUUUGUUUAAAAUCUAUUUAAGUUUUUAGUUUAUUCGUUUUUACUUUCAACUUCACCAAACUCAAAUCCCCCUUUUACUUUCUUGUUUUAAAAUCUUUUGUUUACAUUUUUAACUUUGUUUUUAUGUUUUUAAAUUAGUUUUCAAGUGAUUUAGCAAUCCCUCCUAAUCCCCGGUUUAGAACGAUCCCUACUUACAUCUAUACUACAAUUGUCAAAAAGAGGGUUAAAUUUGUGUGCUUAUAUAUUUCGCAUCAGUCCCCAUGUAGAAAGCAUGUUGGACAUCCAAUUGAUGAAGGAACCAAUUCCGAGAGGCAACAACGGCAAGUAGACAAGGGAUAGUGGUAAGUUUGGUUGCAGGAGAAAAAGUUUCCAAAUAAUCAACACAUUCAAUCUGAGUAUAGCCCUUAGCAACAAGACGAGCUUUGUAACGCUCGAUAGACCCAUCAGAAUUAUACUUGAUUUUAUAGACCCAUUUGCAACCAAUGGGCUUAUGACCAGGUGGUAAAGGAACAAGUGUCCAGGUAUUAUUCUGCUUUAGGGCAUCAAGUUCAGCUUUCAUGGCAUUUCUCCAAUGGGGAUCAACUUCAGCUUGAGAAAAGGAAGUGGGUUCAAUGACACAUGUAAUGUUAGAUAAAAAUGCAUGGUGGGAAAGAGAAAAAUGAGAAUAAGAAAGAAAAUUAGAUAGCGGAUAACGAGUACCUUAAGAAAGAGGUGGCGCCGAGGUUAAUGAAAGGUUGGGUUGCGACGUCACUAUAUAUAUGUGAUAGUCUUUGUGCCAUGAAUGUGGGUGAACGGUACGAUUAGAAUGACGAGAAACAUCAAGUGUUGGAGAUGUUUGUGGAGGAUGCAAAAUAAGUGGAGAGGGUUGAGGGUCAGAGGAUGACUCAUCCAUGGGAGCUGGUGUGGGUGCAUGAGGAGUUGGUAGGAUUGCAUCAACUGGAGUAGAUAGAGAUGUAGGGGAAAGAUCAGUCGUGGUAGGGAUGAGAUUGGAUGGGAUAAAAGGAAUAAUGGGCUAAUGGAUAUCUGAUUGAGGUAGUGGAAGAACAUGGUCAGAAGUGGGAUUUAUAUGUUUGAAAAGGAAGUCUUCUUCGUGAAAACAAAUGUCUAUCCUAACAAAAAAAUUUUUGAGUGUCCAAAUUGAAUAAUUUGUAACCCUUUUGCUCAGUAGGAUACCCAACAAAAAACAAAGGUGAGCGCAAGAAUCAAACUUAUGUUAGGGGUGAACAAUAGUGGCAUAACAAAGACAUCCAAAAACCCUUAAAUGAUCGUAGGAGGGCGGACGAAGGUAAAGUCGCUCGAAAGGUGUUUUGUUGGAUAAUAUAGGUGUAGGUAUUUGGUUUAUGAGGUAAACGGUAGUAAGAUUACACUCCCCCCCCCCGCCCCCCACAAAAAAAAGAGAUGGGCAAAUUGGAUUGUAAACGUGAUGCAAGGGCUACAUUAAGGAUGUGACGAUACUUUCUUUCAACAACACCAUUUUGUUGAGGUGUAUAGACACAAGUAUGUCGAAAUUUGACUCCAUUGGUAAGGAAAAAAUGUUUUAAAGAUAAACACUCAGAGCCAUUUUAGAGCGGAUUGUUUUGAUGGUGGUAUUAAAUUGUGUGCAAAUGAAUUGAAAGAAAUAUUGAAUUAAUGAGGGAGACUCAAAUUUAUGAACCAUUAAAAGAACCCAUGUGCACCGUGUAUAAUUAUCCACAAUGGUUAAGAAAUAAUGAGCCCCCAAAUGUGUACAGUGUUUAUGUGGACCCCAUAUGUCAUAGUGAAUUAACUUAAACGGUGCAUUAGAAGAAAUAUAACUGUUCACAAAAGGGGCCCUUUCUUGUUUUGCCAUAGGGCAAACAACACAAUUAUUAUUAUCCAAAGUUCUAGAUAAAAUAGGAAUAGAAGAAGAAAGUAAACACAAAUGGGCUGAAGAUGGAUGGCCAAGACGAUGGUGUCGGGUGUGGGUGGAGAUGGUGGCAUGGCAAGUGACUGAGUUGUGGUUGACAGGCGACAUGAAGUAUAAACCUUCGCAUUGUUUACCCCAACCAAUCAUCUGCCCCGAAGCCAAGUCCUAGAUGACACAAAAAUUAGGAAAAAGAAUUAUACAACAAUGCAAGUAUUUAGUUACUUUAUUAGCAGACAUAAGAUUUAACCUGAAAGAGGAAACAUGGAGAAAUUAUCAAGUAGGGGUGGGCACGGGCCGGGUUGGGCCCAAAAUUGAAGGAACUAGAUCGAACAUGUUUGUAAAUAAAACGGGACGGGGUGGGGCAGGGUGGGUUUUGGAUUUUUCAAAAUGAGACCCGGACCUAACCUAGCCUUUUUGAAACGCGUUGGUUCCUAUGGGUCCCCACAAGUCCAAAUCUUCACUCACCCUAGCGAGGACGUUGACUUUAAGGCGGUGGAGGUCAGAUAUGGAAGAGGGGAAACCGUCGGACAACAACUACACAGAUUGAAAGCAAGGAUAAAAGCUAACAAAAUUUGAAUCCUCAUAUCACAACCCAGAAUUCCUAGGAAGUUCUAGUUAAAUUAACCAUUCCUAAAGAACCUAGAUUUUAACCUCCCACAACCUGUCCCCACUUAGAUUGACUCAAUUCACCAUAGAGAAUGUGGUGGUCGACGAUUUUACUGCUCAAUCAGACAAAUCUGUCUCAGUUUUCUCAACAAUCCAUCAUAAAAAAUAAAAAUUAUCAAAUGAAUUACAGAAACAAAACAUAAUCAGUACAAGAUUAAACCUUUAGCUGUUCAUCUGAUUAAAUUGGAAAAUAAUAUUAAAAAAGAAAAAAACAAAUCCACCUAACUCAAAUUCAUUAACGGAAAUCCAUAGCUUAAUCCAAACAUACCCAAUUGCAAUUUUGAAAUAAGAAGAAAUAUGAACAUAACCAAUUGCAAACUCAAAUUCACCAAAGAAUAUUCAUCAUAUUGCUCGAUCAAGAAAAAGUCCUACCACUUGUUUAACGUCAAGAAGAACCCAAAUGAGUCACUUCGCGGAUAUAUGAAGAGGUUCAAAGCAGAGAAGGCAAAGAUAGUUGAAUACAACGACUUGAUAGCUAGAGCAACCUUCCAAAAAGGACUCCCCGCAGACCACCCGCUGUUCAGAGAAUUGAUCAUGAAAGAAGAUUUAACUCUGGCAGACUCUUUCGCUCUGGUAGAGAAGCAUGCACUUUGGGAUGAGGUUCGCCAAUGCAUAUUCAAGGCAAAUCCAAGCGAUCUUGAAUAUGAAGUCCCCCACUACUCUGAAGGAGAUUCAAGGUCUGACUGGACAAGCAACCGUAUCUGAAGCAGCAAUAAGCUCUACCCUCAUAUGAGAAGAACUGAGGGCCCAACUACUUGUAUUCCACAGUUCAAAAGCUUUCAUCGAUGCGGAAACCAGCUACUAGAAAUUUAAAAGCUAACUUUGGCAACAAUUGUUGUAACCCGAAAGCUCAAGUUAUACCUUCAGACACACACAGUCAUCCUCAUGACGUACUAUUCUGCCCAAUCCAAAUAUGUGACAAUAAAGGUGCAUACACUGGCGGUGCAAAGUUUUUUGACGAACUCAACAACUCAGCUCAAAAGGCACGCCAAGGGCAGACGAACACUAGAAGGACACUCGGAAGCAAGUUUUGUCCUCGUCACCCUAAAAUAUUCUACAUAGGGGCAACAUGUACCGGUAAGUUGAGCACCACCUCCUGUUACGCGUCACAUGGCUCCAGCCAACCCUUGCUUCAUAAUUUAGUUCAAGAGCGGCCAGGUACCGGCAGUUGAGCAUUACCUGCUACGUGUAACAUGGCCCCAGCUCCAUGACCCUUUACCAUGCCUUCACACCUAGCCUAGGCGAUGCAACAGAGCGACCUAACGAGAUGAUCUGAAGGUAGCCGACCACGCCCUAGCCACGUCUGCUUCACCCGACUACAAGGGCUUAGAAGCAUUUGCACAUUGGCAAUGCAUCCAACUACAAGGGUUUGGAAGUAGGUGUGACCCUUAUUACCCCAGAUAGUUCGAUGCUCGAGCAGGCAAUCACUCUAGACUUCAAAGCAUCUAACAACGAAGCAGAGUACGAAGCUCUACUAGCAGGUAUCCGAAUGGCAAAAGACUUGGCAAUGAAAAAGCUUGCAAUUCAUUCUAAUUCCCAGCUAAUCACCAACUAGACUAUUGGGGAGUACACAGCAAGACAUCCAAGGAUGGCGCAAUACUUAGAGAAAGUAUGCAAAUAACUUGAGGUAUUUCAAACUUACAGCCUCACUUUAGUCCCGCGGGCAGACAACGUCUACACGGACGUACUAGCCGGCCUAGGCUCUACCCAUAACCACUAACUUAAACGUUCUAUCCCGGUGGAGUAUCUAGAUAAGCCAAUCAUAAAGGCGCAGCCGGCAACCGAAAUGUCACAGGUUAGUACAACUCUAAACUGGCAAAAUUUUAUUAUAGACUACCUGGUCAAUAGCACACUCCCCACAGAAAGGUUGGAGUCUAGAAAACUCCAAAUAAAGGUAGCAUGCUACUACAUGUGGAACGACAUUCUCGCUCGAAGAUCCUACACUAGACCACAUCUCCGUUGCCUAGCGCCUCUUGACGACCUAAAGGUUUUAAGCUCAAUCCACGAAGGCAUUUGUGGAAAUCACUCAAAAGGUCGAUCCUUAGCGCAAAUGACUCUUAACGCAGACUACUAUUGGCCUACCAUGCAUCAAGACACUAAGGAGUUAGUGUAAAAGUGUGAGCACUACCAACGUUACAAGCUGGUACCAGUAUUGCCUGCCAACGAGCUACACUCAUAGACGAGUCUUUCGCCGUUCAUGUAGUGGGCAAUCGACUUGGUAUGGCCAAUGCCGCCUGCUACUAGGGGUAUAAGCAUGAUGAUCGUGGUAACUGAUUACUUCACCAAAUGGGUAGAAGCAGAGCCCAUGACUACCAUGACUUAGACGGACAUAUAACGCUUUAUAUAGAGGAACGUCAUUUGCUGAUUUAGCAUCUUUCAAUCCAUCGUCACCGAUAAUGGCUCGCAAUUCAUAGGCAAAGAUCUAGCGAAGUUCUUCCAAAAAGUAUGGCAUCAAGUAGCAUAUGUCCAUGCUAAGAUAUCCUUAAGGUAAUGGGUAGGCCAAAGCAUCCAACAAGACGAUACUAGAUUGCCUCAAGAAAUCCCUCUCCGAAUAAAAGGGAAAAUGGCCAGACAAAUUCCUCGGAUGUUUAUGGGCAUAUCGCAACACCAAACAACGAGCCACCCGUGAGACUUCUUUCUUUUUGGCAUUUGAUUUAGAAGCAAUCAUUCCUCCUAAUGUCAUCGUGCCAAGUAUCAGCACUCUACUGCCAAGCAUCGAGCAGAACAGUAAGGAGAUGACUAUAAGCUUAGAUAUGGCAAAGGAGAAACGUGAGCAGACCAUCACCUACAUUGCAGCCUAUUAGCAGCAACUCCUCUCCAGCUACAACAAAAGAGCAAGAUCUGGCAGUUCCAGCCCAAACUUCUAGUCCUAAGAAAAUCCUUCAUCAUUGCCCGUAAAGAAGGCUCCAAAAAGAUGGAUCCCAUCUGGGAAGGUCCGUACAAGAUCAAUAGAGUAGGCGGUAAGGGUAAUUACACCUUCGCCACUAUGAACGACAAAGAGAUCAAAAAGCAGUGGAACGCCUACAAUCUGAGGAAGUACUAUGUGUGACCUCCCACUACAUCAAAGCUUGAAGACUCAAGCACCUCGACGGGCACCACCUCACAAGCCGAUGACUAUCCAGUUGUUAUGCAGUUCAUGCAUUACAGCUAAGUUCUCGUUCGUUUCACUCAUUUUUCAAUAAGGAAUUUAGAAGUAAUCUACAACUUGGCUCGGCUGCAUGCUUAUAACAACUGAUCACUUUUACACUUCUAAAGAAGACCGCGCCCUUCUUAGGGACUCAUCGUAAGAAUUGCACCCCUCGAGAGACCAACCAUGCUCUUCAGUGCGAGAGGGUAAACCAAUUCCCGACACCCAUCUGGGUUUUCUCUCCAAUGCGAGAGGAUAAACUAAUUGCUCUUCAGUGCGAGAGGGUAAACCAAUUCCUCGACACCCACAUGGGUCUGCUCUCUAAGGUAGGAGAAUAAACUUACACUUUGAAUAUCUAAAUGUGGAUGAGCCGGGCUGCCCUAUUAUAACUAGAUGCACAAUAACUUGUGUUGGGAUUCCUAAAAAUAGCCACAAUGGUCUUUUUCAAAGCUUAGCUAACUGAAGGAUUUUGAGUCUUUUGGCCUAAUCCGCAGGCAGCUGGGCCCUAGACACAGAAGGGGCACAUUACACAGUACGCCCUAUGGACGGCUGCCCUAGAACCCUAAAGCUGCUACCAAGUGCAAUAAGGUUCCCUACGGUUUCCAGAAGACUGCCUACGGCUUGCUCUUCGACAGCAACGCCGCAGAAGACUUAUACAACCGCAUAUUCUCGUGAAAGGUUAAACAAACUAGCGUGUAUAUAUAAAGUUUAUCCAUUGUCGAUAUGAUACGUAGUCGAUAAGCUUCACCUCUGCCAAGGGUGGAACGACCUACACCAAGUCCUAAAGUGUUGUGAUACUUGCGACACAACCUACGAAGUUGGAGAAAGCCAAGGUUAACAACUUAGUGGUUACGCGGACUCGUCUGCUUCUGUAAGUAAUGCGUUCGGCUGCCGACCCUAUGGCUAACAACUUUGCAAAGUUCUAACCUAACACCUACGGUUGCAUAGGCUACGCGAGCCUGUCUGCUUAUAGAAAAGUAGCACGCCUGCCACUGGUCUAUAAAGUCUAAAGGUUAGGGCAUGAACAAAAGAAGCGAAGAUGGAAAAAAGCGAAGGAUACAAAUUUAUUAAAUUUUCUAGCAAAAUUGAUAAACAACUAGCAAAGGCCAAAUGAGUUUAAGAAAAACAAGAGCAACAAGGAAAACAAAGAAAAUCAUAAAGGCUACCUAGAAAACUACCCUUCAACAGCUUGAACAUCCCACGACUACUCAGCCGCCACACAUUUAGCAACCGCAAAGCUCCCAACAGUGGCAUUAUCCGGCGUUUCACCCUCGGCUGCUCCAGCUUGGGCAUCAACCUCUCCGACUACUUCACCAAUAGAGGCCUCAAAAGUAAAGGAAAACAAUUCUUCCAGAGAAAUAGAGAAUGUUUCGAAGUCUUCCAAGCAAACUCGAAGUCAGAUGGCCUACUAAAGAGAUGAUCUACAUAACCCAGCUUGUAGAAAUCGGCUUGACUCUGAACAAGUGAAGCCUCGAGCCCAGCCUUUUCACCUUUCAGUUGCUUGUUCUCCUCAAGCAGACCAACAUGGAUGCGCUGCAGCUCAUCCACUUCUUUCUUCAAACUUUCGUUGAUCUUCAAAGCCAAUCAACGACCUUCUUGAAGUGGAUCACUUGGUUAUAAUCAAUAAUCAACUAUUCAUCCUUUGCAUAAGCAGUGGAACGAAGCUCAGAAACGGCACGCUCAAGAUCUUGAAUCUGAGGUAUGUGACAUCCGAUCUUCUACUCUGCACUUUCAUACUUAAGUUGGAUCGCGUCAAGCCUAGUCUUCAAGUCAACGAUCUCUUGGUGAGCGGUCUCAUGCUGCAGAGAAGUGGGGGUAGAGAUAUUAGACCCCUUUCAAAGCGACGAGCUCAGAUUCUAACUUCUUGAUCUUUUCGACAGAAGAAUAAACUUCAGCUACCAUAACCAUUGUCACCUCAUUGACAUCCUUGGUAUCCUUUUGGUUAAGGAGCAUAUACUCGGCUGCCAGACUAGUCGUCUUCUGCAUCAUGGCAAGUAGGGCAAUCUUUCUAUACUAGGUCGUAUACUUCACAAAGGAACUUGGGAAAACAACACCUCUAAUGCCAUAGACAAACUUGGCACAAGCAUCUAUGUCUUCAAAUAGAUAUGGUUUUAAAAGCGCACAGAUCUCAAUAACCUUCCCAAAAGCAAGCUUAGUAGACUUCUCACAGCUGCUCACGUGAGUAGUCUACUCCUUCUUAAUUGGCGAAUCAGUCUUAGCAAUAGGGGGACUGGGCCUUGGCGCCACUUUAGCAGUAGAGUCUAUCUUAUCGCUCUUCAUAAUAGCAAGCCUCUCCAAAGGUGAACCAAACUUAGCUUCUAACGGAGAUCUUGGUAUAGACUUCAGCAUGGGGGGCAUGACAUGACCUCUACGCUGAGCAAUCAUAUCAGCAAUCGUACUAGCCAUUCUUGACAUGGCAAGUACCACAAGCUCAUAUCUAGUAGCCUCAUGUUUCUUCCCAUUGGAAGAAGUCAUGUCAAUCACAGGCCUUUCGGUAGUAGGCAGACCCUCACGAGUAGCGGAGGAAGUUUUGAGUUUUUUCUCAACCGGCAUCUUUUGAGCAGGUGAGGAAUAUCUCUUCUUUCCACCUUCAUUCAUAGUAGGCUCCACAACAGCGAUCAGACGAUCUAAUGCAUCCGCCUUGAUCUUCUUUACCUCUUAUCUUGGGAGCAGCCUACCUUCUCCUAGCGAAGAGGACUAAGUAGCCAACGCCAUUCAUGGUACUCAGCGGGGGAGCUCAACCCAUACUGGCUUUUCCCUCAUUUUUUCUCUCAGACCAGCAGGUAAGAUGCCUGCAUGCCCAGCAUUCCAAGAACCCAUGAGGCCCGCGACCUUAUCAUUUCUCUCAAUCGCCGGCCUGGCCCUUGUCAAGUCCAAGAGCCCAAAGGACAUGAGCCAUGCGGCUCGCCUAGCACUGCGCCCCAACACCUUAAUCCGCGACCCCAACUGUACAAGCUGCUCUUGGCUUUAGCCAAGCCGGGUAGCCCAAGCAGUGGUCUUUGCCACAACACCUCCUCGGCCCAUGCCGAGCGGACUCCUGGCCCCUACCAGCUGAUGUGCCGCACUACCUCGACGGUUGCCCCGCGACAGCACUAUCCAAGAAAAAGACAAGGAAAAUUAAAUUUUUCUUACCUUGAUGCGGCGCGAAGAAGAAAAAGAAAGCAACGAAAGACGGUUAUUUACACGGGCAAGUGCAGAAGAUUGCUAAGGGAGGGGGAACAAAUAUCCUCUAGCUUUCUCUCUCUUAUAUGGUAGAAUAAAUUGCUCUCUAAAGUUGAUUUAAUCAUCUACUUAAGGUGGACUUAAAUAGCCCUUAGAAGUGAUUUAUUUUCCUUUCCUAGAAGGAUCUAAUUUCCAAUUAAAGAGGGCAUUUAAAUCAAAAUAGGAAACAAUCAUAUGUUUCAUAAAGUAAUAAGAUCUCUACACAUGCUACCCUUUCCUACGACCAGCCCAACAUGUGUGGGGGCAUUGGCAUUUGUGGAGCCAAAAAUAAUCAAGAAGAAUAUGGAGGCGACAUGUGGAUUUUUGGGUAAAAAAGACAAGAUUACCCUCGAGGCACAUCGGGAUUUCUACACGCAAGCAGUGGGCAAUCAUCCCCCAAUCAAGUUAAAAGUGCCCAAAAUAGGUAUUUAUUCAAAACCUAUUUCAUCUAUCGUCAUCAAAUCUUCUCCACAAGGUAGCUCUCAAAUCAUUCAUUUCUAAUUAUAUUAAUUAGCUAACAAAUCAUGAAUCUCACCCAAAAAACCAUCCAAGUGGCCGGUCCCCAUCCUCCCAAAGGGGCCAACCACACCCCUAUAUAAACCACCUCAUUUUCUCCAAACUCAAUUCCAGUUCUCUUGCUAAAUUCUCUAAAUUCUCCAAACACUUUUCCCUCAAAAUUCUAACUUUGUCAUCAGAGGUUCUUCGGCCAAAGCCCCCCCCACCAAUUCAUCGUGGGCACGUGAGGUUCUUGGCCUUGACCUAAUAUGUUAUUUGUUUUGUAGGUGCAAUUUUGUCCAAAAGCAAGGAGGAAGAAAUUUGCAUCCACAUUUGUCACCCUUUUAACCUAAAAGACAACAAACCUCUCUUUGAAUCCAAACCUGAACAAUUUCCGUUUUCAGGUUUUGUUGUUGUUAAUGUUAAUAAAACUUGAUUUAUUGUGUAUUUUUUGUUAUUUUCAUUAAAUAAAAAUUGUUGAAUGUUUUGGUUAAAAAAAGUUUGUAUUUUUCAUUUUUUAUUAACAAAUGAUAUUAUCUUCUUAAAGGGGAGGGAGAUAGACUUAGUCUCACAAUGGACUAGCAAUAAUGUGGUUCAAAUUUGCCUUUGGCAAGAAUCAAACAUAAAACCUCUCACUUACAAGUGAAGAGGAAAAAAGAGAAAAUAUCUUUACACCAAAGGCUACGCCUACUUAAUUGAUAAAGGGUCCGAGAUGAUUAAAAAUUUUAAGUGACAAUAUAACACAAUGUGACAUGUUGAUGUGUGUAAUCACUCGCUAAUUAUGACAUUGGUAAUGCUAGAGAGAUUUAUUUUAACCAAAUUUAUAAAUCAUAUGACGUGGUUGUUGAUGAUUGAAUUAUUACUUAAAUGUUGAUUAACAUACUCAUUUUCUAUUGGUGACACACUACAUGGUUUAUAAAUUUGGUUAAUAAAUAUUGGUCUACCGUAUAUUACCCGUAUUAAUGUUUUGUUCAAGACAUAUUCACGUUAAAGUUUUAUUAGAUUUAUAACACUAUGUCUGCAAAGUAUGUAAUAUAUUUAUAAUCACGUACACUUAUAAAUUCUUUGCUUCCCAAACUAAGAAACUCAAAGCUCCAACCUAUUUUUCUUUUGUUCAACUAGUGAGAUACUUACCAAGAAACUUUUAUAAUAUGUCAUUAACUCACAAUGAAGCACAACGAGCUAUAAUUUAAUAUCAAAAUUAUUAUAAAUAUAUUACUCAGUUGAACUUGAAACCUCAUCGUUGCAAGUAAAAAUUUAAUGUCGCUUGACUAGACGCAAAUUUCUACAAUACUGUGAAAAAUUUAAUCCCUAAUUCAAGUUGGUUCUUUUCUUUUUUUCUUAAAUCAUAGUUCGAGAAGUUUUUGGUUCUCCACAACUACCAAGUAAAGGACAGACGUCACAACAGUAACAAGACAAAGUUCUCGAUAAGAGAAGGGGAUCCUCUCCGGAUCCCUUCCACCAAGUCCACCAAAUCCACUCAUCCGAGCUAUUGAAAUUUGAUCAAACAGCUACAAACAAAAGAUCAUUUUAAAAGAUAGUAACUUUAGCUGUUUAAUCAAAUUUCAAUGGUCCGAAUGAGUGAACUUGAUGAACUUGGUGGAAGAAAUUCCCGAAAAUCCCGAAUAUCGGAAGCUUUUUCGGUUUGGUUCGGGAUUUUCGGGAAUUUUUUCCACCCCUACCUAAAUAUGUGGUUUCAUUACCCUCGGAAGCUUAGAAAAUAGAACCAACAACCCCAGCAUGAAGUCUAUAUGUUGAUGGCUCGUCCAACCAACAUGGUUGUGGAGCAGGACUAGUCCUUACGACCCCUGACAAAGUGGCGAUGGAGUAUGCUCUUCGUUUCAAAUUCAAGGCAUCAAACAAUAAGGCUGAAUAUGAAGCCCUCAUAGCAGGCUUACGUUUGGCCAAACACCUUAAGGUUAAACGAAUUGACAUCUUCAGUGACUCCCAAUUGGUGGUUAACCAGGUCACCAACAACUUUGACGCUAAGGAUAGCUCCAUGGCAGCAUAUCUGGCAUAAACAUAAUUGUUGCUCAAGCACUUCCACUACCAGAUCACCCAAAUUCCUCGAGCGGAAAACCGUCAUGCAGAUGGUUUGGCUUGCUUCGCCUCAGUGGUAGAAGACAAGAUUGGGAGAAAAAUUCAGGUCGAAUUGUUGGCAGCACCAAUCACUAUAGCUGCAGAAGUGUGCAACUUACAACAGGGGGAUCGUUGGAUUACCCCGAUUUAUAGAUUCCUUGCUCAUGGCACCCUUCCAAAUGACAAAGUCCAAGCUAAGCAGAUUUGAUACAAGGCUACCCGUUACUUGAUCAUUAAUGACCAACUCUACAAGCGGGGUUUUAACCUACCAUACUUAAGAUGCCUUACGCCCGCAGAGGUGGAAAUUGUCCUUUGGGAAAUACAUGAAGAAGUCUGUGGAGAUCAUGCUGGAUCUCGAUCCCUAGCACAAGGCUUUUCGCCAAGGAUAUUACUGGCCAACACUCCACUAAGAUGCCAUCAGAAUAUCUCGUUCAUGUGAUAAGUGUCAACGCUACGCAACUAUUCCUCACUCCUCUCCCGAGCCGCUCACUUCUAUGAUCAGCCAUUGGCCCUUCACCCAAUGGGGACUUGAUUUGAUCGGCCCAAUGCCUGCAGGGAAGGGUAAGGUCGGCUAUGCAAUCGUUGCAGUUGACUACUUCACAAAGUGGGCUGAAGUAGAACCCGUGGCAACCAUUACUGAGGCAAAAAUAGAAGACUUCGUAUGAAAGAACAUCCCUUGUAGAUUCGGCAUUCCCAAUGCGUUAGUCAUUGAUAACGGGCGAUAGUUCAACAAUAAUAAGUUCAGGAUGUUCUGCUUUAAGUUCAACAUCAACUUAUGUUUUACCUCCCCAGCUCAUCCCCAGUCUAAUGGAUAAGUCGAAGCCAUCAACAAAAUAAUCAAGCAAACUUUGAAAACCAACUUGGACAAGGCUAAAGGUUGUUGGCCAGAAUUUGUACCCCAAGUUCUUUGGUCAUACCGCACUUCGUAUCAGACAUCAACAGGAGAAACCUCAUUCUCACUUGCUUUUGGUACAAAGGCAGUUAUCCCAGUUAAGCUUGAGCAAGCAACGUUCCGAGUCCAGAACUAUGUGCAAGGCGAAAAUGACAAACAACUUACCCUCAACUUAGAUCUAGUCGAGGAACACAGAAACCAGGCUCACUUGAGGAAUGUCGCCUACAAGCAGCGCAUCUCUAACUACUAUGACUCAAAGGUCAAACCUCGUUCUUUCAAAGUGGGGGAUUGGGUAUUGAAGAAAAGAUUACUCUACGAUAGAGUUCCGAGUGAAGGAACACUUAGUCCAAACUGGGAUGGACCGUUUGAAGUUGUUGGCAUCAGUCACCCUGGCUCCUACAAGCUUAGAAGCUCCGAUGGCAAGACCCUUGGCCAUCCAUGGAACGCUGAUCACUUGAAGUACCAUUACAAGUAAACUCACAUUGUACAAGUGUUAAGCUUUAGCCGUUCGACAUCCUAUGUAACGAAGACUAUUUGGCAUGAAUUCAAUAAAGAUGUGAUUUAGACAACUCGGUCCUAAUCCUCUUACAUUCCUAGCAAUGAAACACUCGGGUUCAAAACUUCAACAUGAAUGCUUCCAACAUGAAACAAAGUCUAAGUAUAUGUCAACAAGACUAUACAAAUAAACGAAGAGCUUCACAGUAUAUUCGUUCAAUCAUACAUUCCAACACAUUCAUACAUAAGCCAACUGUGUUUCGAAAGGGUUCAACAUACUUUGUGUCAUUCGACCCUUACUACAAUGUGCCUUGACACCUUGCCUUUAUUCUCACCGACCAGGUGAUGAAAUGUGAAGAAGGAACCCAUCUUCAUGCCAACAACCAGGUGAUGAAAUGUACAACCUGUACUCUUCUUCAUGCCACCAACUAGGUGAUGAAAUGUACAACGUACUCUAAUAUCAUUUGGCAACUUGCCAUUCAUGCCAUCAACCAGGUGAAGAAGGAACUCAUCAUCGUGUCACCAACCAGGUGAAGAAAUGUGAUGAAAGGUGAUGAAGGAACUCACUUUCGUACCACCAACCAAGUAAUGAAAGCAACUCACCAUUCAUCCCACUUACCAGAAGACGAGUGGUACAACUUGUACAUGUGAACUCCUAGCAUUCACAAAUAAUAAAAAAUCCUCAAGCUUGACAACUCAACUAGGGGGACACUUAUGCCCAACAAGAGUUAUAAUCACCAACAAAGUCUUAUUGCAAGCCAACAACAACUUCAGUGCAUGGCAUAUGAAGAUCAAGUUAUUCAGCCCUCUUGCAUCUGCUUCAGACAUUUCUCCUCUGUAACAAUGCAAACACUACAACUCGUAGAAAGCUUCACACACUCUUGAUCAAGAUAGUGUGAAGCAAAACCAAUUUAUGGUGCCAACAAGAGCUUCAUCAAUGGAGGGCAACCACAAUUCUCAAAAGCUUCACACACUCUUGAUCAUGACAAUGUGAAGCAAAACCAAUUUAUGGUGCCAACAAGAGCUUUAUCAAAGGAGUUCAACCACAAUUCUCAAAAGCUUUACACAUUCUUGAUCAAGACAGUGUGAAACAAAACCAAUUUAUGGUGCCAAAAAGAGCUUCAUCAAUGAAGGGCAACCACAAUUCUCAAAAGCUUCACACACUCUUGAUCAAGACAAUGUGAAGCAAAACCAAUUUAUGGUGCCAAUAAGAGCUUCAUCAAUGAAGGGCAACCACAAUUCUCAAAAGCUUCAUACACUCUUAAUCAAGACAGUUUGAAGCAAAAACAAUUUAUGGUGCCAACAAAAGCUUCAUCAAAGGAGUUCAACCACAAUUCUCAAAAGCUUCACACACUCUUAAUCAAGACAGUGUGAAGCAAAACCAAUUUAUGGUACCAACAAGAGCUUCAUCAAUGGAGAGUAACCACAAUUCUCAAAAGCUUCACACAUUCUUGAUCAAGACAGUGUGAAGCAAAACCAAUUUAUGGUGCCAACAAGAGCUUCAUCAAUGGAGGGCAACCAUAAUUCUCAAAAGCGUCACAUACUCUUGAUCAAGAUAGUGUGAAGCAAAACCAAUUUAUGGUGCCAAUAAGAGCUUCAUCAAAGGAGUUCAACCACAAUCCUCAAAAGCUUCACACACUCUUGAUCAAGACAGUGUGAAGUAAAACCAAUUUAUGGUGCCAACAAAAGCUUCAUCAAUGAAGGGCAACUAUAACUCGUAGAAAAAAAAGCUUCACACACUCUUGAUUAGGACUGUUCGAAGCAAAUUCAAUUUAUAUGGUUCAUCCAAACCUUCGACUACUAUAAGGUGUGGCUUGCAUCAUAAUCUCUUGCUCAACAGUGUAGAAGCAAAAUUUGUAUAUGUUGUCUCUCCCACAUUUUCAAAUUUCUAGUUCCCCCCCCCCCGAAAAAAAAGGAAAUUGGGAAAUUCAACAAAUUUCUAGUUUUCCAAAAAAAAAAAAAAAAAAAAAAAAGGGAAAUUCAACAAAGCUUCAUCAAUGGAGGACAACUACAAAUUCUCAAAAGCUUCACACAAUCUUGAUCAAGAUAGUGUGAAGCAAAAUCAAUUCGUGGUACCCAACAAAGCUUCACCAUAAAAGCUUCACCAACAAAAGUUUCAUCAAUGGAGGACAACUACAAAUUCUCAAAAGCUUCACACUAUCUUGAUCAAGAUAGUGUGAAGGAAAAUCAAUUCAUGUUACCCAACAAAAGCUUCAACUCCUACAAAGCUUCAACACAAAAGCUUCACCCACAAUAGUUUCACCAAUAAAAACUUCACCCAUAAAAGCUUCACCCACCACAAAAGUUUCAUCUACAAAUGCUUCACCCAUAAAAGCUUCACUAACAAAAGCUUCACCCAUAAAAGCUUCAUCCACCACAAAAGCUUCACCUACAAAAGCUUCACUUACAAAAGCUUCACCCACCACAAAAGCUUCACCUACAAAAGCUUCACUUACAAAAGCUUCACCCACCACAAAAGCUUCAUCUACAAAUGCUUCACCCAUCAAAGCUUCACCAACAAAAGUUUCACCCAUAAAAGCUUCAUCCACCACAAAAGCUUCACCUACAAAAGCUUCACCCACCACAAAAGCUUCACCCAUAAAAGCUUCACCAACAAAAGCUUCACUCAUAAAAGCUUCAUCCAUCACAAAAGCUUCACUUACAAAAGAUUCACCCACCACAAAAGCUUCACCCAUAAAAGCUUCACCAACAUCAAGAUAAUGUGAAGCUUUUGUGGUGGGUGAAACUUUUGUUGGUGAAGCUUUUGUGGUGGGUGAAUUUUUUGUUGGUGAAACUUUUGUGGGUGAAGCUUCACCGACAAAAGCUUCACCCACCACAAAAGCUUCACCUAUAAAAGCUUCACCAACAAAAGUUUCACCCACCACAAAAGCUUCAUCUACAAAAGCUUCACCUAUAAAGCUUCAACACAAAAGCUUCACCUACAAAAGCUUCACACUAUCUUGAUCAAGAUAGUGUGAAGCAAAAUCAAUUCAUGGUACCCAAGAAAGUUUCAACCUCAAAGCUUCACCUACAAAGCUUCAACACCAAAGCUUUACCUACAAAGCUUAAAAAAAAAAUAUAUUUUUUCAGAAAUUCGAAAAUUAAAAAAUUCGAAAAUUCGAAAAUUCGAAAAAAAAAAUUCAAAAAACAAAAAUUGCCUAGGCCUCAUCUUUUUUGGGCCUAACAACUUUCAUAACAAAUAUAUAUGAAUGAGGAGUUUUAGGCUACCACUUAGAAAGGAAAUGCCUCAUUCGUCAACUCCCUCGACCGGAGACUUGGGGGACUCCUACCAUGUGCUAUUGCACCUUGAUACUCGGAAGUCUCACAACCACUCAGUGACUUGGAUUUUCAAGUCUCCAACUGAGAAGUUUUCCUCACUCGGGAAAUUAAGGGAGCACUACCUCAACAUACAUGCUUCACUCUUAAAGUUUCAACAUACAAGCUUCAACAAAAGAAAAAAAUUUAAAGAACUUAGUGAAGAAGGCCUUGGUGUAUUUAACACAAUAUGUUGAAAUGAAGCAAAGCUUGUUUAUUGAUAUCUCUGAUAAGUUACAAAUAUGUACAUAUACAUGAAUCAAACUAAACAAACAAGAUGGAGCGUUCUCAAAGGUUGCUCAGGAGAAGUCUCAGCAGUCGGCAGAGCCCUAGAAAGAGGAGGCACCGAAGGGUGAUUAUUCGGAGCCUCAGGACUAGGCAGAACCCCAGAAGGAGGAGGCACCGAAGGUUGAUCAUUUGGAGCUUCAUUAAGCGAUACAGCCCCAGAAGACGAAGGCAAUAAAUGCCUUUGGAACAAACCCACAAACCUUUGAUGAUCAAGUAAAAUUUGACCAUCAGAUUCCUGCAGCUGGUCGAGCUUCCUCUUCAUGUUUGUGGCAUAGUCAUGUGCGAGCCUGUGCAACUGUUUAUUCUCAUGCUUGAGUCAUCAGAUCUCAUCUUUGAGACUUAUCACUUCAGCUGCCAAUGAUUCAACUUGGUGGGUUCGAGUAAAUAGGCGUUGGGCCAUAUUAGACACAGAACCUGCACACUAAACACUGAGAGCCAGAUAAUCCUUAACAGCCAACUCAUCAGAUCGUUUGGAAAGUAGUUUGUUAUCUUUGGGAGUGAGAAGGCUCCUGGCCACCACCGCAACGGUCAUAUCAUUCUUCAUCACAGAGUCCUCAACGGUAAGAGGACCAUAAGGGGAUAAGAAGGAUGGGCGCCAUAUGUUGUCUUGAGAAGGCAUGACUGCCUCUUCACCAAAGUUCAAGUCAAAACGACAGUCGGAUGAGCCAGACAUUCUCAGAAAUGAUGAAGGAGAAAUGAGAUGCAAUAAAUCUCUGAAGUACAAAAAUAAGGGGAAAUGUUUUGCAAGCAAUAACUCUUUGAACGUAGUUCUUGCACACAAUUGGUGCCCCUAUAAAAGAAAGGGCAACAGGGCCAUUGGUUCAAAAAUCGAAGAGGCACCACUCUCCGGAUUUCGAGAAGCAGAAUUUCCUGAGUAAAAUAUGUCGACAAUCCCCACACGCAACAUCAGCUUCUUGGGUACCACAGAUAACUUUGCCAAAGAUCUCUGACAAAGUUUAGACACAUAAAUUUUGAAGGUCCAGGUACCUUACCAUUGCCCAUAAGGGUAAAGAAACAGCAGCACUGCUUGAUAACUGGAAAGUCCCUGUGUGUGUCAACCUCCGUGCUUCUUGGUAAGGCAGACUGGCAAAAAUGCCCAACCAUUACUUACAUUUGAGAAAACACUCAUUGCUUGCUCAAAAAUCGAACAGGCACCGCUUUCCGAAUCUCGAGAGCCAGACUCCAAACAGGAUUACUUGCUCAAAAAUAGAAGAGGCACUGCCCUCCAAUCUCGAGAGCCAUACUCCCAACAGGAUUACUUUCUCAAAAAUCGAAAAGGCACCGCUAUUCGAAUCUCAAGAGCCAAACUCCCAAUAUUAUUGCUUUCUUAAAAAUCAAAGAGGCACCGUUCUCCGAAUCUGGAGAGCCAGAUCCCCAACAGGAUUUCUUGUUCGAAAACCGAAGAGGCACGCUCUCCAAACUUCGAGAGCCAUAUUUCCUAGGAUAAAGCUUGUCUGCAAUCUUCACACACAACAUCAGCUUUGUAGAUACCACAUACCACUUUUUCAAAGUGCUCUGACAAAGUUAAAACACGUGAAGCUUGCAGCUCUCACUACAUUACUAUGACCAAGAAGGGUACAUGAAUAUCAUUACUACUUGUUGUUGGGGAAACUUCUAUAUAUGUCUACCUCUAACCUCAACGGACAGGCAGACCUGCAAAAAAGCUCAACCAUUCCUCAUAUCUGAGAGGGCACUCCCAACGAAGCCUUUUAAAAUACUCAGCUUCCUUUUUUCCCGAUAAUACCUCUGCAAACAAGCCACACCAAAGCAAGAGUAUCUCAUAUCAUUAGGGUUAAAAGCAAGAGUAUCCCAUAUCAUGCUUUUUCCCUGUCUUUUCCUUUGGCCUUGUUCUUACCUGCAAGACAAUGAGAAAAAGAGCAAUCAGUCAGCAUUUGGAAUCAAGCUUCCAGUCAGGAACUGACUACCUGGAACUUCUUGCCUGAGUACUUACCUGGCAUUGCUCUCAAGUACUCAUCUUCAACAUCUUAUACUUCCAGAAAAGAUACUACACAUGCUUGAGGAACAGAUAGGGCAAGUGAGAAGGAUACAAGGAAGCAUGUGGAGACAAGCGCAACAGAACAUGUGCCGAUUCAUCUAUUACUUUGUCAACAGCAAAAGUAUCUCAUAUCAUCAAGGUCAAACACACUCUUGAUUUGAUGGACUUGUUUUGACCCUCAAAUUCUUGAGUUGGCCUUAUACUCUGGAGGAAACCAGAAAACCCUACAGCCCAGUUCAAGAAUAAGCUUGUGGAAAGUUACUUCUUCAAAAGCAAAAGUAUCUUAUAUCAUCACUUCUCCAUUUUCUUCUCUUUAUCUUUUCUGCUGCCUGUAAGAUAGGGAGAAUGAGAACAAUCAGCUGGAACUCGAAAUCAAACUUCUGAUUUGGGACUGAUUACUAGGAGCUCUGAUUGCUUACCUUGUUUGUCACCUUUUUUCGGCAGAUCUCCUAGCUUGGUGACUUAGGGGACUCCUACUACAUUGUUUGUAUCGCGCUUAACCAAGCCUGAAACUACAAGUAAGCUUCAAGUGAAAUUGAUACAUUACCUUGUGCAUCUCCACCGGUUAAAGAUACCACCUCUGGAUGGAGGAAAAGUAGUUCUAGAGAAGAUGCCACAUCUACCUGUGAGAUAGAUAAGGCUAGUGAAAACGAUACCACACUUCGGUACUUAGAAGUUUCGUGAUUACUCAACGACUUGGAUCUUGCAAGUCCCCAACUGAGGAGCUUCCCUCACUCGGGAACUUAGGGGAUCACUGUUUGUACCAUACUUGACCAAUUCUGAAACUACUGAGCACGAGUCAACGUUAUACCGUCAAAGACCCACAAGAGUUUCCCUUUAACCAGGAGGCUAAUCACAUCGCAACACAUGUCGACAUUAGAAGCCAAUUAAAACACGACACGUGUCAAUGUCAAAACAAAGCUAGAAACUCUCUUCUAUAAAAGGAGAUAAUUCUCCCACAAUAUUUCCUAAUGUCAUUUGUACUAAAUCAUUCACUAGUGCUCACUAAAUGAGAGCUUGAACCUAUGUACUUAUGUAAACCCUUCACAAUUAAUGAGAACUCAUCUACUCCAUGGACGUAGCCAAUCUGGGUGAAACACGUACAUCUUGUGUUUGCUUCCCUGUCCCUAUCCAUUUACAUACUUAUCCACACUAGUGACCAGAGCAAUCUUGCGAAGGUCACAAACUUAACACUUUCUGUUGUACCAAAAACCUCACUGAUUUUGUGCAUCAACACAUUUAAGGAACGUGUUCAGAGUAUACAACUAACUAGAACACUAAAGGAAAUAAUAUAAAAUUGAAUGAAAUAAAGGAUGGAUCCUACACCGAGAGGACUCGAAGAUGCUGAUGCGGAAAUGCCUGAACGCCGGGAUUGUAUGCCUUGAUUCUAAGUCUUGAAGGGGGCACAAAACAAACGUGAGUGGUCCAAUUUGAUAUAAUAAUAAUAAUAAUAAUAAUAAUAAUAAUAAUAAUAAUAAAAAAAAAACAGUUAUCAACAUACUAACCCCCAGGUUUUAUGAAAACACAUAUAUCAUGGUAAACAUAGGUUUUUCGAAACCUAGCAUGUCAUGCAAUGUCUUAAAUCAUAACUUAUAUAUAUAAUAAUCACUAGUGAAUUGUUCGAUAACCCUCAGGCCCCAUGCCGGCUCCCCGUCCUUAUGCUAAUAGCCAGAGGAAACACACUCCAGGCCCUAUGCCAACACCAAAUCGUCGCCCGAAAUGAACCGGAAUCUAUCCUUACAUCCCGUAGCGGAAAAGACCACUAGGUAAGUACAAAACCAUUGAACAUAUAUAUAUUGAAAAACAACUUCAUAGUAUAAAGUCAUCCAUCAUCUAUACUAUAAAGAGGUGUUCGAAACAUGUUCUAAAUAUCAAAUCGUCAUCCAUUAGAUAUUCUAUAAGAACACGGGUUAUAGGAAAAAUAGUAGUAAUUUAAUCUAGCCUCAAUAAGCAUGUUAUCUCAAAGCGUUUCAUAGAACAUAAUCAUUAAAUCAUGCUUUUCAUGUAUGCAUUUCUACUAUCAAAACAUGCAUGUUUAGAAGUGUCCACUCAUAGAUAUUUAGCCGCCGAAAAGCCACGUAAACUAGCGAAGACGGAAACGCCACAAUAAUUGCCCCUAAGCACAUAAAAGGUCCAAUUAAUAAAAAUCUAUUAUAACAAUUGAAUUUGGGAAAACGGACGUUGGAAACAAAUUUAGGACGUCGAAUUAACCUAAGAAGGGUCCUGAUUAAAUUUCGUAGAAGUCGAUAGAAGUCAACAGGGGAAUAUUCUGCCGGAUUGGACUUGGGUCUUAAGGGUGUUGGGUUAAGCCUAGGGGUUUUGGGGUUUAGAGGGCACAUGCCUAAGGCCCAAUGGAACAUGGCCCGAAGGCCUUGGGGUUUUUUAAAAAAAAAAAAAAUUUAAUAAACAAAAAUAAUUAAAAAGGUUGGGGUUGGGCUUAGGGCCCCCAACAGCAACAGCCCAAAUGCCUUAAGCCUAAGGGUUUUUGGGUUCUUGAGAGGACGGGCCUAUGACCCUAAAUAAAACGGCCCAAAGGCUUUUUUAUUAAACUAAAUAAGGUUAAAACAAAAUAAAUAAAUAAAUAAAAGAAAUGGGUUUGGGUUGGGCUCGGUAGGAAAGGCCCAAAAGGCCUAUGUUUGAUGGGUCGCCGGACCCAAGGAAGAAGAAGGCCAGAAUUUGGCCGGAAAGUUCCUUAACUUUAAAUAUUCAUAACUUUGUCAAAAAUGAAAUCGAGUGAUUCAAAAACAAAAGUUGUAGUUCUCGAAGAGAUGAAGAGAAUGGUACCUUGCAUGACGUCUAACUCGUAGUAGUUUGACAAGAAAAUGCCUCAAAAGCCUUGGAGGUCGCCGAAAACUGGGAAAGAUUCAAAUGGAUAUAACGUCUUCAAUACUUAACGAAAUUGGGUGAUUUAAAAAGGAAAGUUGUAGUACUCAUGGAGGCGAAGAGAUUGAUACCUUGCAUGCGCGCCAAAUCUCUAUGGUUUGGCUGGAAAUUGGCUCGAACGUGAGGGUUCCUCGUUGGAAUCUGGGAAAGCCUUCCCGAAAAGUUUCUGCGAUGACUCAACAUCCACCACACACAAACAUGGUCAAAGAACGAACUACAAGGAUGGAAGGAAGAGUUUUUGGAGUGUUACCGAGGCUUACCAGCCGUCGGCAAUAUGAGGGACUCGCCGGAGUUCCUCUGUGCUCCACAGACGAACUAAGAGAGGGAAAAAGAGAUAGCUAACGCGGUAGUGAUGGUGAUGAUGUCGUCGUUGAUGAGGUGGGUGUGGACAGGUGUGUGUGGGUUGGUCCUCGGGGGAGAAAGGGUUAAGAGAGUUGUCGACAUGGAGAGAUAAGGGAGAGUGAGGGGGAAGAAAGAACUGAGAGAGAUGGAGAGGGAGCUUGGGAGACAGGGGACAAAUAUCAGGGGUGGGCCCUUUGGGCACACCAUUUAAGACCCAAAAACCAUUUUUUAUAAACUUUUUAAGGGAUAUAUGAAAUUACAUUUUAAUUCAGGGAUGGGUUGUAACAGCAUCUCUGGUGGAUUUCAUCUCAAUCUUAAAUAAAUAUUCUCUCUUUCUCUACCCCAUUAAUAAUUUUCAUGAAUUAAGUAAAACUUAUUUAAUGAGUCAUUUUUUGGUCUAACUAGAACAUCGCGUACAUGUACUGCUAACGCGGUGUUGGCAAUCCUCUUUAAGUUGUCCCCAUAAUGUUAUCAUUAGAUAGAUUAGUAAUACCAUGCCACUUACACACAAAAAUUUUAAUUUUGAAUUUCUAACGUUAGUCACAUGCUAACAUAGUGCUACCAAUCCACUUAAAUGUAAGUUCCUGAGUUUAGUCUAAGUAGUACGGAAUGAUAUAGAUAAUGAACUAUAAUCAGGUUUUAAAUAAUUAAAGAGCACCAAUCACACAUUAUUUGUUAUAAUUUAAAUGAAUUAGUAACACCAGAUCCAUUACUCGCAAAAACAUCUCCCAAGUUAUCAUCCAACUUAUGGUUUACUAAGAUGUGCAUUGUUAUAUGUAGGGGGCAUAUAAACCCUGCAAUCACAUUCGGGCUGUUUUUGGUAAGGAGAGUAUCACUGGUGAGAGCCAUAUUGUACAUGGCGGCUCAGUCGUUUGGAGCCAUAUAUGGUGUUGGGCUAGUGAAAGCUUUCCACAGUUCUUACUAUACCAAGUAUGGCGGAGCCAAUGAGCUUGCCGAUGGCUACAACAUAGGCACUGGAUUGGGUACUGAGAUUCUUGGCACCUUUGUUCUUGUCUACACUGUCUUCUCUGCCACUGAUCCCAAGAGAAAUGCAAGAGACUCCCAUGUCCCAGUAAGUAUAAAUUAAUUUUGCUGCUAUUAAUUUCUAACUACUGACUCUAAUGAUUUGUUUAUGUUGAUUAAUUAAAGGUAUUGGCACCCCUGCCAAUUGGGUUUGCUGUGUUUAUUGUUCACCUUGCCACAAUCCCAAUCACUGGCACUGGCAUCAACCCAGCUAGAAGUCUUGGAGCUGCAGUGAUCUACAACAAUGACAAGGCUUGGAAUGACCAAGUAUGCCUUUCACCUUACUCUCUUAGUUACUAACUUUUAAUAAAAAAUAAAAUUUACGGACGUUAAAUAGACAAUAAACCAUGUAUAUAACUCAAUUUAAUACUCUUUAUUGUCGUCUACUUUUUUAUUUAAUUUUAUUUUUGAUUAAAAGUUAAUAACCAGUUCUAAUUCUUCGUAUUUUUUCUAAUUAUUUACUUAUGUUUGUUGUUUAAUUAUUCAGUGGAUCUUCUGGGUUGGACCAUUUAUUGGAGCUGCCAUUGCUGCCUUAUAUCACCAAUACAUCUGGAGAGCAGGAGCUGUUAAAGCUCUGGGUUCUUUCAGGAGCUCCCCCAACAUAUGAUUUUUAAGAGAUUUAUUGUGUUUUCUCAAUGUUUUGAGAAACUUUGCAUUUCUGGAAGCAUGGAAUUUGUAUAUUAUUACUAUUGUAUAGGUGUUGAGGGUGUCAAUAUUAAGUUACCUUCUGUCUGUGUACAAAAGGCACUUCUUUUAAAUGUGCCUUAAUGUUUGCAUUCUGCUAUUUUUUUUCCCUCUUUCCUUUUAUAACAUGAUUUCAUCUAUUUGUAUGUGUCAUCAAUAUGUUUAAUUAGUGAUGAAUUUUCAGCAAAUGCAUUGUGUUACUGAGUUGGCGCUUCCAUAGGUAAACUUCAAUAGUACAGCAAAGACGUCUACAUGAUAAACAAAAGCAGAACAUCCAAUCAAUUCUUGACAAUUACAAAUAUUCUAAUUCAGAUUUCACGUCAUUCCAACUUCUCCUUAAUUCAAUUCCUCCUUAUUUCAAUUCAUCUCAUUUUAAUUACGGAUCAGUUAACUAGUCAUGAGUGCAAAGUUAUAUUAGGGGCCUUCAUAGUUCUUAGUGGGAAUCUUCUUUCUAAAAAGUAACUGUGAUAAUUGUUGGGUAUCCUUCCACUUUGCAAAUGGGUAAUUGUGACAACCCGUCCCGAAGAUAUGUAUUAUUUUAUUAUCAAGGACGUGAAUUUACUAUUUUACCCCCGGUUAUGAGCGUUGUGGUGUGUUAUGUAUGUAAGUGUUGAAAUGGAUGGAAAGGAAAGAAAAUAAAAAGAAGAAGGGAGGUCACAUGUGUGUGCGUGUGCGUGGCUGGUAGAAGAAAAAUAAGAAGAGAUUGGGCAAAGCUGCCCAACCAGAGGAAGAGAGCAGGAGCUGAGGGGGAGAAAGGAGAGAGAGCUGGCAAAUUAGGAGAAGAGAGAAGGAGAGGAUGGCCAACCAGAAAAGGGGAAGGAGGGAUAAGAGGGAAAAGGAAAAUGAGGGGAACCCUGGGAUCUUUUUCUUGAUUCGUGCGACUCGGUCGAGCUCCAAGGCCGAAUUCACCUAUUUCCCGGCCACUUUCUGAUGAAUUGUCUCGAACCAUGACCUAGAAACAACUUCCUAGCCUUCCCUCUUCCAUUCCCACUCAAAAUUAGAAGGAAUUUGGUGGUAAUUUAUUCAAAAACCGAAAGUGGGUGCCGUGAAGAAAAUUGCUCUAAAUCCACCACUUGUGAAACGUUUUCCUUCAAUUACCACUACCAUUAGACUUCCCUAGAACCUAGGAGCAAAGCCCAAGCAGUGGUGGAGGCUUCGGAACAAGUUUGAAGGUCGAAUCGAAGCACACCAAAUUCUAGGGUCCGCACGGAGUUUGGUGAAAUUGAAGUGCUUCCACGCCAAAUUGGCAUUGGUCAUAGGUAUGAAAGUUGUUCUACUCAUUGAGAUCUUCAAAUCUGAAAAUUUUGGUAAUUUUUAGAAAUAGUUGAAUUUUCCGGCGAGCCAGGACGGCCGACCGCCACCCGCGACGCAACGGCUGGUGCGGUGGCGUGUGGCCUGAGGGCCACCAAUGCUAUUUUUAGACUAUAUGUGAUUUCUUGAAUUCAAUUUUGAGAAGUGAAUUAUGUAGAUUGAUUGUUAGAGCCAAAAUUCUCUAAGAUACGUUAAUAGGCCAUUAUAUGAAUCGACGAUCCAACCGUCGGAUCAUCACCAAACUUUGAUACGUAGUAGUACAUAAUAUUUGAAGAAUGCAGGAACUUAUGGAUCAGGACUUCGAUGGACGGAUCUUCUCGAAUUGGAUUUGUAAGUUCAUAAAAUAAAAUGUUAACCGCCACUUAAUUUUGGAAAUUGGCGGAGAUCCAACCGUCGUAUCGUAAUGAAAUUUUAGUAUGUUGUUCUAGAAGCUUAAUGUGUUUUGGGAAGUGACAGAUCAAAAAUCUGAGUUGUGGAUCUUCCAGAUUUAGUUAUUUGGGGUUAUGACCCUACCGUCGAACUUAGUCGACGGUUGACCUUCGAUCAACUGGUCUCGCAUUAUUCUUGAAUGCCGUUGAGGACAUGUGUUAUGUGAAUUACAUAUUCUAUGGAUAAGAGUUUUGAGAUGUGGUUUGAUAACUGUUUUAGGCACCGAGCGUUCAGGACGUCUUGGUUAUGAUGUUAGGGAGUCAUAGCGCGGACCACAGGUGAGUGGGCAAUUAUUUUCUGUAUAUACCUAUAUACUACUGAUUUUUCCCAGCAAUUGAAUUUAAAUGAAAGUAUGUUUUAAAAUGCCAUGCAUACAUAUUAUAUGAAAUAUAUGAACUAGUAUUUGAUGCAUAUAUGUGAAAUGGUGCUGUGGACGCACAAGUGAGUUUUAUGUUGUUCAUGUGAUUUAUUGAUGAUGGGAAUUGUGUUGAAAGCUCAUAACCUGCACCCCUGGUGUUAGUGCUUAUAUUAUUCACCCCGCACCACUCGCUCACCUUGGAUCCAAGUAGGUGCAUGUCGUACAAACCAUUAGAGGUGGUUCCGACAUGUCGUACAGACCAUUAGAGGUGGUUCUGACUUGUAGGUGACUUUAGAUUGUUAUACAGCUGUUGAUGAGAGAAGCACUAGAGCGUAUUCUUACACCAUUCUUGUCAUACAGACUACUUUAGGUCGUUCCGAUUUAUGUACAGAGUAGCGCCGUACAUGUCACAGUUGGUGACUCUGGUUGGAUUAGAUAUUGAGCUAUAGAAUUAACCGUAUAGGACAGCUGCAGAGUCUCCGGUUGAUUCCUUAUUUCACCUGUUAUAUUGAUGCAUCCUUAUUAUGUUUUGAAGCAUAGCAUGGCUUAUUUCUUGAAAGGUGUUAAAGACAUGUGAUUUGAGUUAUUUGUUGUUAUAUAUGGUUAUAUAUAUACUAUUUCUGGGAAAGUAUACAGGUUUUACAGUGAGGGGUUAGAAGUGUUAUUAAAUGAAAUAUUUUCAAAAAGCUUUGUUUUACUGACCCACUCAAUCUUGUUUUGCGCCCCUCCAGGUUCUAGUUAGCAGUGUUGGUGGCUCACGGGGAUUCCCACGGCGUUCUGACAACCUACUUAAAUGUAGGACUCACCUUUAGGUGUUGUAAUUUAGUAAUGGUCAUACUUGACUGCACCUAGUACUUAUGCUCUGAUUAUGUGUGUUUCACACUUAAACUCACUCUAGCAUGUUAGUUGGAUAUUAUUGCUAGUCAUUGGGUUUUAUUCCUUCGUAUUUCUUUUACCCAUUUUUGCUUCUGCGUCGCACUUUUGGUUACGUCACGCUCACGUAACGGCCUGCACGCCCUGAUUCUAGAAUCGGGGUGUGUUAGUUGGGUAUCAGAGCUUAGGUUGCAGUCCUGUAUAUCUUAAGGAUUCUCUUAGUGUCGUCUAUCAGAACUAUACCGCCUUGUAGAAAGUCACGUCGUUCAGAUGAGCCUAGUUUCCCUGAUAUAACUCAGUUAGAGAAAGCUAUUGUUAAUGUGAUUCAAUUUGUUAUCUGUCCUCCCCUAAGGACUCCUCUUGAAAAUGGUUAUAAGUUGAAACUGAAUCAUUUUAGGAAAUGAAGGACCUGAAGGAGCAGAGCGAUGGCUCGAUUAUUUGGAAAAGACGUUAAGCGUUAUGCAAAGUCAAGGGAAUCUUCCUUUUGAAAGGUGGAUCAAGAUAACUACUUGGUUUCUGAGUAUUGAAUCUGCAUCCUGGUGGAGGCAGGAGGCUUUUUAAUUGAUGCCAGAGGAAAUUGUUGAUUGAGAGUUGUUUAAGGAAUUGUUUAAGAAAAGAUUUAUUCCUCGGCAUGUAUGGAUGAUAAGAAUUAAGAGUUUACAAAUUUGAGACAAGGAAAGAUGUCAACGAAUGAGCAUUAUAGAAGGUUUAUUGACUUGUCUCGUUACCAUUCGGAUGUUGCUGCUAAUCCGGUUGAGAUGUUCCGUCAUUUUAAGCUGAGUAAUAAGAAAAUGUAGUGUUCUUUGGCGAUCAUUACCCAAUGUGUUUCUUACCCGAAGUUUUACGAAAUUUUGUUGAAGACUCUGAGAAUAUGUUCAGCAAUAGUAAUGAAGGAGGGGAAAAGAAUGGGAAUCAGAGGAAAGAUGACAAAAGUAAAGGUUAGUCAUCUCAAGGACUUGAGAAACUUAGAACUUCAGAAGAAGUGAAGUUAUUUUUGGUUUUUCCAGAGGAGGAAUUAGUACCACUAAACAGAUGAGAGGUGGUAAAAAAUUACUGGAGGUCCUAGAUUCCUGAGGCAGGAAGAUAUUAGUAAAGGAAACGUACUUUGUACCGUAGGUACAAUAAUAGUCAAUUUGGAGAGUGUAGGCGAGAAAUCAGCAGAUGUUUUUCAUGUGGACUAAUGGGACACAGAGCUGUAAAUUGUCCCCAGAAUCAGUAGAUGCCCAACAGUCUUCUUUGCCACCACCAAUGCCAUCCAGCAAGUUCCUGGAUCCAUUAGUUAUGGUCAGAUAGGCCGUGGUGUGCGGGGGUGAAGUAAUCAAGCUAUUAGAGGUCGUGAGGGAUGAAAACAAGCCAAUGUUGUGUUAACAUAUCACUGCAAGAUGCUUUGAGUCAUUCGGACUUGAUUAUGGAUAUGUUAAAUAUUUUGGUCACCUUGCCAGAGUUCAUUGGUCGUGAUGCGGAAAUUUGAUGUUUUGGACGAUGUUGCCUAAGAAAGUAAUGAAUGAGUACGAUAGAAGGGUACACAUAUAUUUCCCAAGGAAUGGCAGGAUGUUAAUAUUGCACCCUCAGGAAUCAUUACUUACUUAUCAAGACGACAGCGGGUUAUCAGUAGUACGGUGAUGGUGGAAGAUAUAGUUAUGUCAGUGAAUCUUAUCCCUUUAGAUAUGGUGGAUUUCGAUGCUAUUCUAAGCACAUAUUGGUUGUAUUAUGAUCGUGCCAAUAUAGAGUGCUACUGGAAAUCAGUUACUUUUCAUAGUCCUGGACUACCAGAGGUUACUUUUGUGGGUGAAAAAAAAAAUUGGGGUGAGACAUGGUGUUAUUUCUGCCAUGAGAGCAAAUAAGUUGUUAUCAAAUGGUUGUCAAAGAUACCUAGCACAUGUGGUGUUAAAUGAUGUUGUUCCUAGCAGUGUGGAGGAAGUUAGAGUAAUCAGGCACUAUCCUGAUGUAUUCCCAAAUGAUUUGCCUGGAUUGCCGUCAGACAGAGAUGUGGAGUUUUCGAUUGAUUUGCUUCCAGGUAUGGAUCCUAUAUCUUUGACUCCAUAUAGAAUGGCUCCAGUUGAAUUGAGAGAGUUGAAAAUUCAGUGUGCAGGAAUUGAUUGAUAAAGGUUCCAUUUAACCUAGUACAUUACCUUGGGGAGCCUCAGUUUUUGUUGUGAAAAAGAAUGACGGGACAUUAAGGCUAUGAAUUGAUUAUGGGCUAUUGAAUCGGGUAACGAUUGAGAACCAUUAUCCAUUACCUCGCAUGGAUGGUUGGUUUAAUUGGCUUCGAGGUGCCUAUGUAUUUUCAAAGGUUGAUUUAAGGUUUGGUUAUUAUCAGUUGAAGUGUAGCAGUGAGGAUGUUCCUAAGAUUAAUUUCAAGACUCGUUGUAGUCUUUAUGAGUUUUUGGUGACAUCAUGCGAAAUGACAAAUGUGCUUGCUGCUUGUAUAGGUUUGAUGAAUCAAGUAUUCCAGCAAUAUCUAGACAGGUUAUUAUUGUUUUCAAUUCGAGUAUAUUCUAAGUUGAAAGUAAACCAUGUUCGACAUAUUAACUUGGUAUUAAGGAAAUUGAGAGAACAUCGGUUGUAUACCAAGUUUAGUAAAUGCCAAUGUUGGAUGAAUCAAGUGGCAUUUCUGGGGUGUGUGAUAACUGUUCAAGGUAUUCAGGUGGAUCCUUAAAAGAUAGCAGCGGUGGAGAAUUGGGAACUAGUGUGAACUGUGAGUGAGGUACGGAGCUUUCUUGGCUUAGCAGGCUACUAUAGACUGUUGUUAAGAGUUUUUUUAGUCAUUGCCUUGCCAUUUAUGAGUUGAAGAAUAAAAGGUUAAGUUUGAGUGGGAUGAAAAUUGUAAUCAAAGUUGUCAGCAGCUGAAGAAUUAUUUCAUUUAUACGCUGAUUUUAACACCCCCAGAUGAUAGUGAUGAUUUUGUGGUCUACAGUGACGCCUCGUUGAAUAGUCUUGGAUAUGUGUUGAUACAACAUGAUAGGAUGGUUGCUUAUGCUUCACGGCAAUUGAAACCUUAUGAAAAGACUUACCCUACUCAUGACUUGAAAUUUACAACCAUCAUCAUUGCUUGAAAUUAUGGAGACACUAUAUUUAUGGUGAGAAUUAAUGCUUGUUAUGCUGGUCAUGUUUCUCUUCUUGCGAACUUGAGAUCUUCUGGAGUGAAGCUUAAGGUGAAAGAACGAGAAGAAGCUUUAUUGACUAAUUUAUAGGUCAAGCCAAUUGUAGUGGAUCGUAUACUCGAUACCCAGAUGAUUGAUGACGAAAUUCAAGAAUUAAUCGAGGUAAGAAACGACGGGAAAAGGAAAGACCUUAGAGUUAGAGAAUCAGGUGACAUGUUUAUGCAAGGGAACGGGAUGUGUGUGCUUAAUGAUGUGGAAUUAAGAAAGCAAUUUUGAAUAAAGCACAUAAUUUAGCUUAUGCGAUGCAUACUAGAGGUACAAAAAUGUAUAAUACCAUUCGACCAUUUUAUUAUUGGCCAGGUAUGAAAAGAGAAAUUGCUAAAUAUGUUACCAAAUGUACCAAUUGUCGACAAGUUAAAGCAAAAAGGAAGAAAUUUUGGAUUAAUGCAGCCACUUCUUGUUCCACGGUGGAAAUGAGAAAAUAUUACGAUAGAAAAGAGAUUUGGGCUUACGGAUCUGUUGAACUUCUUGGGCAUGUUAGUCUCGUCAGAUUCCCAGAAGUAACACCAUAAGGCCCAAGAAAGCUGUGUCAUGUGUUUCAGAAUUUUUGAACUUAUGGACGGAUGGUAUUUGGGGAGCAAAGGUUCAAUCACGAACGGUUCGAAAAUGUAAGGCCCUGAGUUAGUGGAAGAGACUACUCAGAAUAUUCAAGUAACUAAGUCUAAACUGAAAGCGGCCAUGAUCGCCAAAAGAGCUUAACGGUCAGACAUGCUACAGACAGGGUGUAUAAUGUUGAUGAUUGAGCGUUUUUAAAUUAUCACUGUGUGAUUCGGUUUGAAAGGGAAGACGAGUUAAGUUCUAGGUACAUCGGACCUUAUGUGAUUACCAAGCAAAUCGGUGAAAUGUUUACAAGCUUGAGUUGCCUCCAGAGUUGUCGGAAGUGCAUGAUGUAUUUCAUGUUUCGAUGCUUCGCCAUUAUAUCUCAUAUCCUUCACAAGUAGUACCUCCUCAACCUUUGCAAGUUAAUCCAGAUUUGAUUUAUGAUGAGGAACCUGUGGCACUUUUGGAUUGGAAGGAUAAGGAACUAAGAAAUAAGACCGUGCGUUUGGUGAAAGUAUUAUAGAGAAAUCUUUCAGUGGAAGAAGCUACUUGGGAGAUAAAGGAUCGGAUGAAAGAGACGUAUCCACUCUGGUUUUAUAAUUAUUAGUGGAUGUAAUUGUUAUGUAUAAUUUCAAGGACGAAAUUUUAUAAGGUGGGGAGAUUGUGACAGCCCAUCCCGAAGAUAUGUAUUAUUUUAUUAUCAAGGACGUGAAUUUACUAUUUUACCCCCAGUUAUGAGCGUUGUGGUGUGUUAUGUAUGUAAGUGUUGAAAUGGAUGGAAAGGAAAGAAAAUAAAAAGAAGAAGGGAGGUCACGUGUGUGUGUGUGCGCGCGUGGCUGGUAGAAGAAAAAGAAGAAGAAGAGAUUGGGCAUAGAUGCCCAACCAGAGAAAGAGAGCAGGAGCUCCGGAGAGAAAGGAGAGAGAGCUGGCGAAUCAGGAGAAGAGAGAAGGAGAGGAUGGCCAACCAGAAAAGGGGAAGGAGAGAAAUGAGGGAGAAGGAAAAGCAAGGGAACCGCCGGGUCUUCUUCAUGACCCGCGUGACCCGGUCGAGCUCCAAGGCCGAAUUCACCUAUUUCCCGGCCACUUUCCAAUGAAUUGUCUCGAACCAUGACCUAGAAACAACUUCCUAGCCUUCCCUUUUCCAUUCCCAUUCAAAAUUAGAAGGAAUUUGGUGGUAAUUUAUUCAAAAACCGAAAGUGGGUGCCGUGAAGAACAUUGCUCGAAAUCCACCACUUGUGAAAUGUUUUCCUUCAAUUACCACUACCCUUAGACUUCCCUAGAACCCAGGAGCAAAGCCCAAUCAGUGGUGGAGGCGUUGGAACAAGUUUGAAGGUCGAAUCGAAGCACACCAAAUUCUAGGGUCCGCACGGAUUUUGGUGAAAUUGAAGUGAUUCCAAGCCAAAUUGGCCUUGGUCACAGGUAUGAAAGUUGUUCUAAUAAUUGAGAUCUUCAAAUCUGAAAAUUUUGGUAAUUUUUAGAAAUAGUUGAAUUUUCCGGUGAGCAGGGGCAGCCGACCGCCACCCGCAGCGGCCUGAGGGCCGCCAAUGCUAUUUUUAGACUAUAUGUGAUGUCUUGAAUUCAGUUUUGAGAAGUGAAUGACGUAGAUUGAUUGUUAGAGCCAAAAUUCUCUAAGAUACGUUAAUAAGCCAUUAUAUGAAUCGACGAUCCAACUAUUGGAUCGUCACCAAACUUUGAUAUGUAGUAUUACGUAAUAUUUGAAGAAUGCAGGAACUUAUGGAUCAGGAAUUCGAUGGACGGAUCUUCCCGAAUUGGAUUUGUAAAUUCAUAAAAUAAAAUGUUAACCGCCACUUAGUUUUGGAAAUUGGCGGAGAUUCAACCGUUGGAUCGUAACGAAAUUUUAGUAUGUUGUUCUAGAAGCUUAAUGUGUAUCUUUGGAAGUGACGGAUCAGAAAUCUGAGUUGUGGAUCUUCCAGAUUGAGUUAUUUGGGGUUAUGACCCUACCGUCGAACUUAGUCGACAGUUGACCUUUGAUCAAUGGGUCUCGCAUUAUUCUUGAAUGCCGUUGAGGAUAUGUGUUAUGUGAAUUACAUAUUCUAUGGAUAAGAGUUCUGAGAUGUGGUUUGAUAACUGUUUUAGGCACCGAGCGUUCGGGACGCCUUGGUUCUGAUGUUAGGGAGUCGUAACGCGGACCCCAGGUGAGUGGGCAGUUAUUUUCUGUAUAUACCUAUAUACUACUGAUUUUUCCUAGAAAUUGAAUUUAAAUGAAAGUAUGUUUUAAAAUGCCAUGCAUACAUAUUAUAUGAAAUAUAUGAGCUAGUAUUUGAUGCAUAUAUGUGAAAUGGUGCUGUGGACGCACAUGUGAGUAUCAGGUGAGUUUUAUGUUGUUCAUGUGAUUUAUUGAUGAUGAGAAUUGUGUUGAAAGCUCAUAACCUGCACCCCUGGUGUUAGUGCUUAUAUUAUUCACCCCGCACCACAGGCUCACCUUGGAUCCAAGUAGGUGCAUGUCGUACAGACCAUUAGAGGUGGUUCCGACUUGUAGGUGACCUUAGAUUGCUAUACAACUAUUGAUGAGAGAAGCACUAGAGCAUAUUCUUACACCAUUCUUGUAGUACAGACUACUUCAGGUAGUUCCGAUUUAUGUGCAGAGUAACGCCAUACAGGUCACAGUUGGUGACUCCGGUUGGAUUGGAUAUUGAGCUAUAGAAUUAACUGAACAGGACAGCUGCAGAGUCUCCGGUUGAUUCCUUAUUUCACCUGUUAUAUUGAUGCAUCCUUAUUAUGUUUUAAAGCAUAGCAUGGCAUAUUUCUUGAAAGGUGUUAAAGACAUGUGAUUGAGUUAUUUGCUGUUAUAUGGUUAUAUAUAUACUAUUUAUGGGAAAGUAUACAGGUUUUACAGUGAGGGGUUAGAAGUGUUAUUAAAUGAAAUAUUUUCGAAAAGCUUUGUUUUACUGACCCACUCAAUCUUGUUUUGCGCCCCUCCAGGUUCUAGUUAGCAGUGUUGGUGGCUCACGAGGAUUCCCACGGCGUUCUGACAGCCUACUUAAAUGUAGGACUCACCUUUGGGUGUUGUAAUUUAGUAAUGGUCAUACUUGACUACACCUAGUCCUUAUGCUCUGAUUAUGUGUGUUUCACACUUAAACUCACUCUAGCAUGUUAGUUGGAUAUUAUUACUAGUAGUUGGUUGGUUUUUAUUCCUUCGUAUUUCUUUUACCCCUUUUUGCUUCCGCGUCACACUUUUGGUUACGUCACGCUCACGUGACGACCAGCACGCCCUGAUUUUAGAAUCGGGGUGUGUCAGUAAUAGUCUAACACAUACAAUUCUCUUUGUAUUCGAAAAAAGAAAUUAAUAGUUCUCUUUAAUUAUAAUUUUGAUUGUUUAAGCAGUUAUAAGAAAUACUGUGUAUUUGUUUAUCUAAUGAAAAUUAAUCGAUGAAAUGAAUUUUGAUUCAAUUUUUUCUUUAGAGUAAUAUCUAGGGAUACCCAAAAAAGGACAUUUUGGACGCUUUUGGGAAGUGCAGGUGUUGAUGAAUUGGAGGUUAGCAGUAGUUGUUGAAGUUUACAUUUACACACACAAUUAAUCUGGGGAGUGACUCCAAUACUCAACUUUGAUUGUAAAUUUACGAAAUGUUAAUGUAGAUGAAGGUGAUGAAAGUAUAUAAUUUAUUUUUUCAAAUCUCACUCGUUGAUAUCACAUUGUAUGCAUCUGCAGUUUGUAAAUUUUUUGUAAUAAAGUUUGUCUCUCUAUUAUUAUUGUGUGUGAGAAGUCGAAGAUCAUCUAAAAAUGAUUGGAGUUUUGGAACAAAUAAUGCACGCACAUAAAUAGGAACAGGCUUUUGUUGUAUGUAGGAAUUAAAGCAAUUUGGUGGACAGUGGAGUACACCACAUAGACUGGUCAUUAAGAUUCAAGGUGAAUUACUUUUUAAGAAAAACUAACGAAAAGUUUAAAAAAAAAAAAUUUUUAACGAAAAAUUCAUUUUAAAGGUAUUGUAAAUAGUUGAGUACUUAAUUUCAACUCCUAUAAAAAGCCACCUUCAUCUUCAUUCCCUUCAUCCCAAAAUCCCACGGCCCUCACUCGACAAUCUACUAGAAAACCCUAAUUAACAAUCUGCCACAAAACCCCAUUUCUCUUCAUCUCUUUCCAGAAGCACUUUUGAGUAAAAAGCCACUUCUGUAACUUUCAGCUUGGAAUUAGGCAGCUGAUCACAGAGCACGAAGUUAAUUAAGAAGCCUUUUUGUUUGAUCAAUAAUUGCAAUGGCAAAGCAGAUGCAGAUGAGAUUGUUGUGUUCUUGGAUGGAAGUUGCACCUACAAUUUUGAUAUCCCACAACAAGACUUCAACUUGUCCUGAAUUGGAAACAAUAACCGAAGAGUGGGAUCUGGAGGCUGAGGAGAAAGACCUGCAGGAGUCCAAAAAAUGAACAUCUUCUUCUCAUGUCAUGGCUGUUAAUAUAUAUCUUUCUUCUUUUUUUUUUCAGUUUUUGUGCGAGUUUGUAGAAGUUUGUGGACUUGGGUCGGACUAAAAUUUUGAGAUUAUGUCCAAACAAAUUAAUAAUAGUUUCAAUGGCAUUGGCUUCCAUCUUAUAAGUUACUUCUCAGGGAGAAACAAAUGAUGCCGUUGUUUUACAAGUUGUAAUAUUAUGUUUAGAAUUUUCGAAGGGUUUCAUUCAUAUUAAUUCAUUAGGUGUGACAAUUACAUAUGAGAAGACUGUUCCUGCACGAGAAUAUGAACAUAGAGUAAUUGGAGAAAUGUGGAGCUAGUCAUUUCUCCUUCAGUAUUUAAUAGUUAGUACUCUUG